This 59883-nucleotide long non-coding RNA is filed under the name Medicago truncatula (barrel medic). Its description in RNAcentral is "long non-coding RNA (MTRU_LNC006025)". The stretch from base 41268 to 41435 matches the Rfam family "MIR2680 microRNA precursor family". Lineage: Eukaryota; Viridiplantae; Streptophyta; Magnoliopsida; Fabales; Fabaceae. The record is from RNAcentral.
UCAGAACACCUGAGGAGAAAGAUGCAGCAUUAGAAGCUGUCAAGAACACCAUACUAGAAACAUUUCUCAUUGUUGUCAUCGGGUAAGUAUGAUCCUUGCGUUCACCUCUACUUUUCAACUCAUCGGGUAAGUAUGUCACAUAAUUUUCCUUGGAGAUCUCAAAUGGUUGACUAAGUUAUCUGAGUUUUGCAGUUCAGUUUGCUCAGCACUUCGAGCAUGGCUUUUUUAUUCUGCAAGCGCAAGGGUUGUAGCGCUGCUAAGGAAGAAUAUGUUCAGUCACCUUGUAAACCAGGUAAGCGAAAGGUGACUUUUCUGAUCAAGAUUGAAAUACUGCAAAUGAAUUUAUACGUGUGAUUGCUGCAUGUAUAUGUAUGAGUCUCAUUGUUGCUAUGGCAAGUAACACAGCUGGAUCAUCUCAUUUGAUACAUCAAAUGAUACCCUGUCUCUUAAUUUCUUGCAGAUAGCAUAAUUAUUUUGAUUUCCCAAUGUCUUGCUUUAUAUACAAUUGGUAUUUGGAAUAAGUUGAUUAUGAAGUCAGAAGAAAGUGUACUGGACAGUCAAUGUUUUAUAAAAUAACGUUUAAGAUGCAAUGAAUGAAACAGAACUCAUAAUUUUACUAAGAUGCAAUGAAGGAAACAGAAGUCAUAUUUUGUCUUUUCUUUAUUGUGUAUCAAAAGAGUUUGCUUCUUUGUUCGGAUUUUUUUAUUUGUGGAGCACUUUUUUCCAAUAGGUUCUUGAAGAUAUAUGAAUAUAAUUUUACUUUCUUGCAGGUACAAGAACUUGCUAAGUUUUGUGUAGAGUUAUGGGAUCUUAUGGAGAUACCAAUUGAAGAGCAAAAGGCCUUUAGCCAUGUUAUUAGAUUAAUUUCAGCAUCAGUUGACGAAGUCUCAAUCCAAGGUGGCCUUUCUUCUGAUGUCAUUGGCAGGUGAAACCUUCAACGACUUGUACUUGCGUUGCAAUUUUAUUUGUAUAGUCUGAAUUUUAGUUGCUUGAUUAUUUAUAUUUGUGUAGGUCGAGGUAGAAGUUCAACGCUUAAGUGUUUUGAAAGCCAGUAAGAUGAAGGAAUUAGUGUUUAAAAGACACAAUGAACUUGAACAAAUUUACAAAGGAGAUCACAUGGAUAUGGAUAGUGAAGCUGUAGACAGAUUCUGAUCAAUCUCAUAGAAUCUGGUACAUAAAUAAUGCCUAAGGUGUUAUUGAAUUUUUUUUCUUGAUAUUUCAACAUGGCUACUUAUAAAUGUAUCUGUAGAUUCCAUUUUAUUCCCUCUUAAAUACCCUCUGGACCUGAUGUUAUAUAUAUUGUUGUUAGAAUCCUUACCAGAAUCGUGAAAACCGACGAUUUUGCAAUUUCACCCACCCCUACCAAUCCAAAUCGUAAAUAGAAUCUUGAUUUCAGUAAUAUAUAUGUUAUUGUUAAUUUUUAAUAAUUACUAAUUGUGAAUCAAUGCCUAAUUUUCGACUAGUAAUCAAAUUUUAUAUAUUUUUUUACAGUCUAGCUUAAUUUUUUGUUUAAAUACUCCAAAAUGAAGAAAAAAAAAAUAAUUUUAAUAAGCUAGUAGUAAACUACGAAAUUGCUAGGACCUUGCGGCUUGAGAUUUACUUUAAAAUUAUUGUAGCAAUGUCCUAGCCAAAUAGUUAGGAAACUUAAAUUUUGAAUGGUAUAUUGCUAGGCAUUAGUUUGGAAAGAGCUAGGAAUUUAUAAAUAUUAGAUGCCACUUAGCUAGGAAAUAUUAGGCUAGGUAAUUUUCCGCCCAAUCCAGGCUACGGCUAGUAUGACAGCUGAUUCCCAACUAAAUAGUAGCUAAAUGAGUUUUGCUAGGAAUUAGCUACGUGUUAACGACCAUUAGUUUCGUAGCAAAUUUUAUAUUUUCUUGUAGUGGGUUAGGAAUUUGGUUUGGCGAGCCUGUUGCAAUUGUAUCUCUAUAAGGCUACGUUUACAAAGCCGGGAUGUUCCAUGUCAAGGCUCUUGUGCGAUAUGUACAGUCUACAACGAAGAUAGUUUCCAUUUUUCUUCGAGUGCGACAAUAGUUUUGCUUGUUGGUAACACACUGGUAUUGGGCCCUCCCUCCAUUCUAUUAUUGAUCAAAAUGACAGUUUUUCUUUGGUUGUGUUUGCUGCUAUAGAAAAUUUAGAUGCCCCGCUAAACCAAAUUGUUGGGGUGACGUUGUGGAGAUGGACUCAAAGGUAGUGGUUGACUGUAUCUAUGGUUGUUCACUUGGUUUCUCAGAUUUUACGUCAAUUAUUAAUGAUUGUCGAUGCCUUAUUUCUUAUGAUCUAGCUCAAUGUCAUGUUAGUUUUCGUAUUUUUCAUUUGAGUUCUAUCAUGUAUCACUACUCUUAUUUUAAAUGAAAUGCAUUAUGUUUUCUCUUCUAAGAAACAAAACAAACAUAAGAAAAAGUAUGCAACAUAUGACCAUAUCAACCAUUAAAGAACACGAAAUUCUACGACUUUCCUUCAGGCAGUUGGAGAAGCUAAAAAUAUCUGCACGUUAUAGUUAUUAUCAAGAAAUAAAAGAGCCAAAGAAAAACUUGGACAUAUAAUACAAAGACAUUAAAAUUCAGAAAAUGCAGGAGCAAAAGAAAAAAUGAUGCUAUGAAGAAACUAUCCUUCUUCCAACCAACAUUUCAGAAUUAAGCAUGCUUGUUUUCGAUAACAUAAAUAUAAAUGCAUCUUAUUCACAAACAAAAAAAAAUCAUGCAAUUAAGAUCUCUAAACCAAUUAAUCUUCCUGGCUCAAGAUCAACCAGAACGUUCAUCAUUAGAAAAUAUUAUUGGAUUACAAAUUGUUACAAGGACUCGUAAUUAUCCAAUUUUUUCCAUGGGUGUAUGCUUAUUUUUAUACCGCGAUACAAACCUUAAAAACAUGACACUUCACCUCUAUAUUGUUACAAAACUCCUCAACAACAUUCUGAUCAUUAGUUUUAAUCUUCCAACCUAAUAUCAUAGCAAAAUCCAACAUCUUCUUCCUUUGGUCAUGGGUGAACUUAGUACUAAACGUUUUAUAUCUCGUUACAAAAAAUUUCAACAACAUUCUCAUCAUUAUUUUUAAUCUUCCAACCUAAUGUCAUUGCAAAAUCCAACAUCUUCUUCCUUUGCUCAUGGGUGAACUUAGUACUAAACCUUUUAUAUCUCGUUACAAAAUUCUUCAACAACAUUCUCAUCAUUAUUUUUAAUCUUCCAACCUAAUGUCAUUGCAAAAUCCAACAUCUUAUUCCGUUGCUCAUGGGUGAACUUAGUACUAAACCUUUUAUAUCUCGUUACAAAAUUGUUCAACAACAUUCUCAUCAUUAUUUUUAAUAUUCCAACCUAAUGUUAUUGCAAAAUCCAACAUCUUCUUCCUUUGCUCAUGGGUGAACUUAGUACUAAACCUAUUAUAUCUCGUUACAAAAUUCUUCAACAACAUUCUCAUCAGUUUCUGUUUGCCCAGAUAACACACAAAGGGGAGAAUGUCCUUUUGGCAGCACUUUGUAUUUCUGUGACUCAUUCCUGCUCAUCUUGGGUGGAUAGGGCUGUGUUUUGAAUAAAGUUUAGCUGUACAAAAAAAAAAUAACCACAUUUAAUUUUCGGGAAGCAUUCAACAAAAUCAUUUAAUACUUCCAAGAAAUAUAUUUAAAAUAUUACACAUCCUGAAUGCAAGAAACUUAAUAAAGCAUUCAACAAAACAAUUUAAUACUUCCAUGAAACAUAUUUAUAAUUCUCAAAUUUGUUUCUCUUGCUUAUUUGAUUUUCAUAUUUGUAAAUGAAUUUUUAAUUAGACAAGAUUUAAGCGACCAUGUAACACAAAGAAAGAGAUUGCAAUAUCUCUAGAAUAAAUCAAGCCGUUUAUGUUAUGAUAUAUUGUAUCUUCCCAUAGGAAAACAAAAUUAAAUUUUACUAAGAUUGUGUACCUGAUUCACCGGCUUGAAUUGAUUAGGCUUGAACCCAAUGGGUAUCUAGGUAUUUUUCUUAUACAGCAGAUCCGUUGAAUGUCUACACACAUGAUCAACAUCAGUAAAUAUGAAAAUCUUCAAUGUAGAACUUGAUAAUUUAACCCUAAACAUGAAAAUAAAAUCUAAAGUAGAUCUUUGAGUACCGUUUUUAUAGAUCCAUCCUUUUGAACAGCCCAUUAUAUCGGAGUUUCUCACUUUUUUAAUCAAAGAAAUUACACUCGAGUUGAAGUUGAAAUAGAAAAAUAGAACGAUGUUGUCACCAAUAAUCCUCCAAAGAAAGGAGAUUGUAGAUGACGACAAGAAAUUAAAAUCAUAAUGAUCAAGGAAUAGCAUCAGAUCUCUACACUGAAGCUGCAACAAAGAAAUUACAGUUCAGUAGAAAUUAGAACUAGAGAGAAGAGAAAGCAUAAUCAGAUCUAAUGAAGAAAUCAAAAUACUGCAUACCUUUCUGUAAUUAAACUCAAGGCUCACACAUUGAAGUGUUUGAUUUGUUUGAUUUGAGAUGAUAGUCAAUGUAACAAGUAAUCUUCUUUCUUCUCAUAAGCUUCUAAGGUCGAUCAUGAGAAAGUGAUUAGAUGCUGCUGGUGGAAGGAGAGGAACAUGGGUUUGUGGGUAGCUGCGGCUGCUGCUAGCUUUCAAAACCUAUAUAUCAGUCUAUAAUAUAUAUAGGUGUCAAGACCGGUUACCCUACCUGAUCUAUUUAGGGCCAGCCCUAACAAACAUUAGACUUUAUUGGAUUGGGAUAAAAAGCUCUAUUUGAACAUGGACUUAAGAAAAACUAUUUGACCCUAUACGGGCCAUGGGCUAAAUGGACCUGCCUUAAUUAUUUUCAUUCAUUUUUUGAAAAUAUUAUAGAAUGUUCAACAAAAUUUCUUACGAUUCUUACAAGCACUAUUUUUUUUACUAGUGAUCAGACAAGCAAUUUGUGUCUGUCUGCACACCUUUUUCUUAUUGCGAUAAUGUAUGUAAAUUAUGAAAGUUGUUUUUUUAAUGAACUAUGUUUAUCUUUUUGAAUUACCAACCAAUAUUAAAAAUAUAAUAUCAAUUCUUAUAAUUUUUAAUGACACCAAUAAUAUAAAACUAUUAUUGUUUUUUUUUAAAUUUGUAUAAAUUUAAUGAUACCAACAAAUAGAAUUUUUAUAGACAAUUCGUUUAUAGGUAUAGUUAAAAAAAUCUAAUUAAAAAAGAAAACUGAAAAUAAAAAAAACAUAAAUGUUUUGGCGUAACACAAUUUUAUUCAAGGUUACCAGCUUCCAUCUUCAUAAGUUUUACAAUUCAUAAAAAUUGGACUUUUUUUUUCUUCAUUUUUUAAGUAUAUAUCUACGCAUUGAACGGGCAAAAAGUAUGUCUUUCUUUUGUAAUUUAUGAACUUUUGUCCAAUUUCUUUGUUACAGAGCUUCUAUAAUCUUCUUUCAUAGGUGCUAGCGGUGAGGGAUAUAGCGGUAUGAUGAUAAAUGUGGUAUGAUGGAUAUAGCGGUCCAAUUUCUUUCAAAGAGAAUUAAAGAAAGAAGAUCAUCUCCUUUGUUUUUUCUUCUUUUGGUAGAGGGAUAUAGUGGUAUGAUGAUAAAUGUGGUGAAUCUAAAUAUGUUCAAGGGGUUUUAAUUUGAAUUUUAUUGGAAAAAUGGCGAUGGCGGUUGUUACAAACCAAUUAUCCUAUAUGGAAAGUAGUGUUGAUAGAAAAAUAUGGAAGUGGAGUGCAAACCUUGUUGGAAGGUAGUGGUGUAGAGUGUCUGUGGUAUGGUUCUUGAUGGUGGAAGGAUCUUGUGCUUAUUCACGAAGUUGGAAGCUCAAAUUGGUUUAAUUCGGAGGUGGGAGAACUAAUUAUCGAAAUGAUAAGUGGAGGGGAAGUUCUACACUUGUACAAUUUCCUAGACUUUAUGCUAUUUUAAAUAAUAAAUAAGCAACCCUAUUCUCAUGUAAGAGAUAGUUUUGUGUGUGGGAAGUGAACCCUUAUAAAUAAUUAGUUUGAAGUGGUCGAUGAUUUCAAUUAUUCCUAAGAGCAAGAUUGUUGGAAGUGGAGACCAGAGGAAAAUGAUUUGUUUUUGGUUAAGUCAACUUAUAUUUUGUUGGAGAAUCUAAUCAUGUGGGAGAAUAGAUGGAGUGAUAUUAAGAAGAAUGUUUUUGGUUAUCUUUGCAAAGGGAAAUCUCCAUCAAGAGUGGUGGCUCUUUCUUGGAAACAUUUACUUGAAUGAAUUUUGAUGAAAUCGAAUCUUGCCAUUUACAAAAUUAUUCAACCGGAGGAUUUGGAAGAAUGUGCUUUGUGCGAAUUAGAGUGGGAAACAUCUACUCAUCUCUUCUUGUUUUCUGUCGUGGAUGAAGGAGUGUGGAAUCUGGUAAUGAGAUGGAUAUAUUCUUGGUUCAUUACCCCUCCAAAUUUGUUUAAGCAUUUGGAAUUGGAGUAGAGAGGCGUCGAAUGAAAACCUGCAAAAAGGUUAUUGGCUUAUUUGGCAAGUAAUGAUUUGGAUGAUUUGGAGAGCUUGAAAUAUGAUUUUUUUUUUUUUUAAUAAUGUGGUAAAGGAGGUGGAAGAGAUAGUGGAUGAAGUCAAUGUGUUGUCAUGGAGGUGGAAUCCUAACGAUUGUAUGGAAGUUCUAUUUUGUAUCGAUAUAGGUGACUUUUGGGUUUUAGUACCAUUGUUAAUUUUUUACAUGGUGUUGUUUUCUUUGUUGAUUUGACUCUGUUAGCAUGUUGCUGGUCCACAAUUUUGGGGUCUGGGAGCAUAAUCGAUUUUGGUCUUUGAAUCCGCCAUAUUUUACUUCUUGUAAGGGUGGUAUGAUAAAUAAAUGUGCUAUUUCAAAAACAAAAAAAAAAAGGGAGAAAAUCCUCUAAAGUGAGAAAAUCAAGGGUUUUUAUUAUAACAAACUUGUGAUUUUCUAUGAUAUACCUACAAUAUCUACCUUUAUUUUAUUAAGUAAUGAUUGAUAUUGUCCACUUUACAAUCUAAAGCAAGUUCAUCACUUUAGAGGAUCCGGAUCUGCAUUAACUAUUUGUAGUUGAUUUUAUCAAAAUAAACUUAUUGUGUGGUUAGACAAAGGUAGAAUUUUAGUGUUUUAUAAACGCUACUAAUUUAUUUUAGCAAUUUUUGUUAUUUGAGACAAACAGACUACCAGUGGCCCAUACAUGCUACCCAGAAUAGGUUGUACUCUAUAUAGGGUCGUACUAAAUAGCUUGGAAAACGUUCGCGAUAGAAUAUUAAGGCCCAAAUUCUACUUUUUAUUCGGAUUGGCAUGCUGACCUUAAUGUGUGUAAGCCUAUUUUGACAACUCUAAUACUUGCAUGAAUAUAAAGAUUUGAACAUUCUAUUUUCUCACACACAAAAAAUAGUAGAAAAGGUAAUAAUUUAAUGUUAUAUAUUUUUUUAAUAAUAUGAUGAAUUGUAUUUUUUUUUUAUCAAAUGAAGUGUUGAAAUCUGUGUCCACCCAUAAAUUAUAUAUUACGGUUAUUAUAAUAUAUAAAUCUUGUAAAUAUAUGAUCCUGAUCAAAUCAUAACUGAAACUACAAAAAUCAUUCAUGCUCUUUAUUACCUACGUCCAACAGCCAGGACUCAUGGGUGUCAAGGUUCUUGAUUGAAACCUCAUUAUUUUUUGAACCGCUGUAAUGGCCACGUUUUAAAGGAAAAAAUGCGAAUGUAGAAAUAUGUUCAGUAUCUUGACAAUUAUUAGCCUACAACAGAAAAAUACAACACAAUAAACUGAUAGACAUUAAUAGAAAAAAGAUUAAUUGGUGGACAGUAUAAAAAAAAUGUCGGUUUAAGAAGAAUUUGCCAAAAUGGCGUUGUCAAAACUGCCAUCAUUUUCACUCCCCCGCUAAAUUUAAAAUAUUGAUUUAAGAAGAACCGUCAAGCAAGCUGUCAUAAUACGAGUUCAAUAAAAUGACGGCUAAUAUUUUUUAUUAUAACGGCGGUUUCAACAGCCUUAAUAUAAACUUUUUCACUCCCCAUGAAUAUGUGAAAAAGUACAAGAAAAAUAUUGAGCCAAGGCUAAACAAUUCAGCCAUCUCGCUUUCAAAAUCCCUGAAACCUCCGUCACAUAAGCAGAAGCAUUUCCCAAUGUUAUGAACAAAGCCUUCCAGGUACUUAGCUUCACAGUCAUGAAUUACAACACCAAUAGUCUCACAAGAGGGUGAGCCAUAAGAAGAUCCGUCAAUCUUUAUCUUUAUGCUUCCCCUCUGUGGAGGUCUCAAAAAACCUCACUAACGUGCACCUGCCUGCUAGAAUGCGAAGGAAUCUGGAACAAAGAACGAACUAUGAAGUCUAGAGAGGAGGAAUCACUAGCUCCAGACAUCAGAGAGGAGCUAAACUUAGCUUCUGCAAUGAUGUUUCUGACCAUGUUGGGGAUAUUGAGUUCCUUGUCUUGAAAAUACCGAUUGUUAUGUUCGAUCCAGAUUUGCCAUAUGCUAUGAAUGAUGACAGAAAUCAGAAUCUGAUGAGUGAAUUUGCUCCCUUUGCUGAUGUCGGUGUGUAACAGAUUUAGACAGUUGGAAGUGUCCAGGUGUUGCAAUAUCUUGAUAAUAAUAAGACUACAACAGAAAAAUACAACACACUCAACUGAUAGACAUUCAUAGAAAAAAGAUCCAUUGGUGGAGAGUAUUCAAAAAAUCAUUUCAUUUUUUCCAAUGUCAAAGAUACUGAGUAAAAGUACUGCUUCAAAUAAUUCCGCUUAAUUCGAUUAAAAUGGAAACAACAGCAAACCAUAGUGAAUUAAAAUUCAACAAAGUUAUUUAGUUUCUUUACAAAUGAAUAUAGAAAUGCUUAGCUAAGACUAAAACAUCAAAGAUACGUAAUAAACACAAUCAAAAUUCUUAUAUCAAGCGGCUGAUGUCGUUUGUGAGUUAUCAAUAAAGAGGACACACUGAUUCCACAAAUUGAGGCAAGUUUACAUGUAUUUGGAUCAAUAUAACAUCAAACUUAAAAGACAAUAUGUAAAUUAAUUUUGAACCCACAGAAACUUCUUGUAGUCGUCCAGGAUCCAUAAUUACAGUUACAAAACAACACCAAUAAAAGUCAUACGUGAGGAGAAAUUUAGCACCCUUUGUACUUUAUUUCUCACAACUUCAAUAAUGUCAAAUUUCUAUGUGCGACGAUGCAAUAACACCGCUUUUUGACAAUAUUUUCUACUAAAUAGUGUAUCAUGGGAUCAUAUCAAUAUGUCAAAAGUGAUUUUUUUUUCACGCUAUGGCCAUACUAAUCCUCAUGUUAUGUAUUUUCUAUUGAAACAAGCUGAUAAGAUUUUUCAGCACUUAAUUAGCAAACAUACAUUUACUAGCCAAUUUGAAGAAAACAAACAAUAUCAGAAGCAUAACUUGAAUUUGUAAAAUGAAAUAAACUGAAUCACAAACCAUGUAAAAGAUAAUUCAAGCCAAGAUCAAUAUUAAUAAUUAUCAAAAUCUUGAAUGUCAUUACUAGAAUUCAAAAAUUUCACCGUAAUCGUAAACAGAAAAUCUAAAUUAAAUUUGUUAGUAUAAUUUUUAUGGAGCCAUCCUUUUGAACUUCUUGAAUGUCUUUGAAUGUUGAUCUUUGGGUCCCAUGAUGUCUGUCUUAACCAAUGUUCCAGAUGCAAUCUUUAGGUCCCAUGAUAUCUAUGUCUUCAGCAACGUUCCAGAUGAAAUCUUCUUCCAAAAUGGAAAAUUAACUGUGGAGUUGAAACCCAAAAAAUUGUAUGGAUAGAAGAUGAUGUUGGAAAAGAGAUUGUGGUGGUUUGCAUGGAGGGAUUCGAGCUGAAUUUCUAAUGUCCUACUUUGUGUACAGGGCUCUCUCUGUGUGUGUUGGAUUUAUAACCUUUUUAUUAGUGUCUCUGUACAGCUAAAAACCAUAAGAUUAACAUCUGAAAAUAUAAGGAAACAUAAGAUUAACAUUUCCAGUUGUGACAGAUAACUUAUAACUCAAAACCAUAAGAUUAACCAUUCCAGUUGUCAGCAACCACAUUGAAACUUAAUAUUAAAUGUCCAAAAUGCAAGAAAGUUUCACAAAAUUGAUAUGAUGAUUUAGGAAAAAUGAAAUUCAACUCACCGGUCCGCAGGCACCAACCAGGUUUUUCUUAGCAUAGUUUACAUACCGUAUGAGCCUGCGUUAUGUGUUGAAUUGCUCGGUAUCUGGACAAUAGUAAGACCGCAACAGAAAAUUACAACACAGUCAAGUGAUAGACAUUCAUAGAAAAAGAAUACAUGAAUACUAAUAGAAAUUUGCUAAAUACGUUGGAGAUAUAAAGUAGAAUCGCUACUGCAGAUAUUUCCACUACCAUAAUUCAACAUGUGGGUAAUUUAUUUAUUUUAAAUAAUUAAAAAUACUAUUUGAAAGAAUGGUAAGAGAUUAAAUCAAGGUAGAAAAUGUAGUUGUCAUAUACAACACAUUAGCCAUUAAUAAGAGAGACAAAAAAGAGGAUUCAACUAAAUUAUGAAUGGUGGAAAUCCAAAGUCCCAAGAAUUUGUCACAUUCUUGACUCCAAUAAAAUCAUUUGAUACUUCCACAAAACCAUUUGAUACUUCCAUUAAAUAUAUUCAACAAAAUCAUUUGAUACUUCCAUUAAAUAUAUUUAAAAUAUCACACAUCCUGAAUGCAAGAAACUUAAUAAACCAUUCAACAAAACCAUAUAAUACUUCCAUGAAACAUAUUUAUAAUUCUCAAAUUUGAUUCUAUUGUCUAUAUCAUUCUCAGAUUAGUAAAUAAAUAUGUAAUUAUUCCUUUAUUACUUUAUUAAUUUCAAAACUCAACGCCCUAUAUAAAUUAAAUGCAAUCUCUUGAAAAGCUUUAAAACAGGGGAAAUCCGCACAAGCUUUUAUCUUGUGGCAUGAUUGACAAAUGCAUCAAUUUCUUGACAUCUCAUUCUUUAAACCACAAUUUAACAAACAAAAAGAUUGUAAUAUCUCAACAAUAAAUCAAGUUGUUUAUGUUAUGAUAUAUUGAAUCAUCCAAUUGGAAAACAAAAUUAAAUUGUACUAAGAUCGCGUACUUAUUCGCCUGCUAGAAUUGAUUAGCCAUCAAGACAAUGUGUAUCUAGGUUUUCUCUUACAUUGCAAUAAAAAUUCGUUACACUCACAGUGGUAAAAAGACUUGAAUAGCAGAUCCAUUGAGUGUCCACACACAUGAUCAAUAUCAAUAAAUAUAAAAAUGAAUGUAGAAUUUGAUGAUUUAACCCUAAACAUAAACAUAAAAUCUAAAGUAUAUUUUUGAAUACCGUGUUUAUGCCGCCAACCUUCUGAACAGCCCAUUAUGUUGGAAUUUUUCACUUUUUUAAUCAAAGAAAUCACACUCGAGUCGAAGUUGACAUAGAAAAAUAAAACCAUGUCAUCACCAAUAAACAACCAAAGAAAGGAGAUUGUAGAUGACGACAAGAAAUUAAAAUCAUAAUGAUCAGGGAUUAGCAUCAGAUCUCUACAAUAAAGCUGCAGAAAGGAAAUUACAGUUUCGUAUAAAAUUAGAACCAGAGAGAAAAGGAAAAUGAAAUCAGAUCUAAUGAAGAAGUAAAAAUAUUGCAUACCUAUAUGUAGUGAAACUCCAAGCUCACAAAUUGCAGUAUUUGGUUCGUUUGAUUUUAGACGAUAGUGAAUGUAACAAGUAAUCUUCUUUCUACUUACAAGCUUCUAAGAUGUGAAAAUGAUUACAUGCGGCUGGUGGAAGGAGGGGAACAGAGUGUUUGUGGUUAGCUGCGGCUGCAGCUGGUAUAAAGGGUUCCUUUUCAAAACCUAUACAUCAAUCUAUUAUAUAUAGGUGUGAAGAUGGGUUAUUCUACCCGACUUGUUUAGGGCCGGCCCUAACAGACAUUAGACUUUAUCGGACUGGGCUAAAAAGCUCCAUUUAAAUAUGGAAUUUGAAAAAACUAUAUGACCCUCUUAAAAAAAAAAAAAACUAUAUGACCCUAUACAAGCCACGGGAUAAAUUGAUAUGCCAUAAUUAUUUUCAUAUUUUUUAAAACAUUGUAGAAUGUUCAAAAUAAUUUCUUAUGCGCAUUACUAGCAUUUAGACAAACACUUUGUGCCAGUCUUCACACUUUUUUUUUAUUGCAGUAAUGCAUGUAAAUAAUGAACGAUAAUUUUUUUAAUGAAGUUUUUGUUUUGAUUAAAGUUAUAUCUAUAAUUUUUUGUGCCUUUCAAAUUGUAAACACUAUGUUUAUCUUUUUCAAUUACCAAACAAAUAUAGCAAAUAUAAGAUUAAUACUUAUAUUUUUUAAUCACACCAACAAAUAGCAUUAUAUAGACAAAUUUAUUUAAGGGUGUAAUUGAAAGAAUAUAAAAGCUAGACCAAAACCUCAUAUUUCCUUUAUAUAUGGUAUCUCAUUAUAUAUAAUACAUAUUUAUCCAAAGAAAUAUAAUUAAAAAAACAAAACUAAAAAUAAAAUAAAAGCAUGAAAGUUUUGGCGUGACACAACUGAAUUCAAGUUUUACCAGUUUCCAUCUUAAAGCGGUUACAACUUCUUAAGUAUUACAUUUCAUAAGAAUUGAAUAUUUUUUCAUUUUUUUAGUAUCUAUGCAUUCAAUGGGAAAAAAUCAUGUAAAGCGAGUAAUGUGUGAAGUGUAGCUCAGUUGGGUAUGGACAAUAUAUAAUAUAUGCAAGGUUCAGGGUUCAAAGUCCGACCACCACCCAAAAAAAAAUAAAUUAUGUGGACCAUAGUUCUCUUUCAUAAUCAAUAUAAAACCAAACUUCAAAGACAUGCGGUGAAUCAAUUUUGUACAUUGUUUUUGUACAAUACUUUUCGGUGCUAAUUUAAUUGGGUUAAUUUAACUUUAAAAAAAACAUUGUCAUUCCUUAAAAAAACAUUAUUAUUCCUUAAAAAAAAACAUUGUUAUUGAAGAAUAAAGACCUAUAAAAUAGUUGGAAAUCAACUAGCUUCAUAAGAUCGAUGAUGACAAUCACAAAACAACAACAAUAGAAGAAAUUUAAUACCCUGUUGACUAUGUUGCACACAAUUAUAAGCGAAAAAUAGGGGUAAUUUUUUUUAAACAACAAUGAUAUUUAAACACCCCAACUUUUCAUACAUUCACUUAACACGUCAUUUUAUUUCUAUCUCUCACUUUCUAUCACAUCAUAAAACUAUAGCAUCACUCUCUUUUUCUCUGUUUCUUUUAGUUUAAUGGUGUAUACACACACCGACAUGAGGAGUACAUGAGGAGUAAACUGAACAUUUUCUAUGUUCAAAUCCAACUACCAUUGUAGACUUUUUUUAAGUAGAAACUGUAUCCAUUAUUUAACAACACUUCACAUUUAAAAAAAAAUAUCAAUGGGAAUUUUUUCAAUCCUGCCAUGCUAAUCCUUAUGGAAGGUAUUUUCAAUUGACAAAAGAGAUGAUCGGAUAACUAGUGAACAUGAUAAUUACUAGCCAAUUAGAAAAGCAAAACAAAGUCAGCGGUAUAAUUAAAAUUCAUAAAAUGAAAUAAACUGAAUCAGAAGCCACGUAAAAGAUAAUUUGAAACAUGAUCAAUAUCAACAAAUAUCGAAAUCAUGAACGUCAUCACUUUAAUUUGAUGAUUUCACCCUAAACAUAAAAUCUAAAUUAAAUUUUUUAGUUCCAUUUUCAUGGAGCCAUCCUUUUGAACUUCUGACUUAACAUCACGACUUUCGUCAUCCUUUUGAUCAUUCUAAACAUCUGAAAAUAGAAAGAAAUAUAAGAUUGACAAUACCAAGCUAUUGCUGGUAGGUUAGCACCAAAUCAUAUAUGAACAAUAGAAACUAACUUUAAGGAAGGUAACUAUUAAGAAUAAUGAUAUAGUUAGUUAAGAUACUAGUUUUAGUUACUAUAUAAGUCACAUGGUUGACUCAUUUGUACCCACAUCUUUCAUUCUUGUAUUAUUUUCAACCAUCAUCAAGAGAAUAGUUUUCUAAGCUUUUCUCUCUAUUUUCAUGGAUGCCAUGUUUCUCAACAGCCAUGUUUCUCAACAGUAACAUGUUGGAAACAUAUCUUUACAAAGGAAACAUAUCAAAGAUAAACAAUUAACACAACCAUAUCCACAAACAUUGUCAAAGCAAAAAAUUAUCAUACCAAGUGUUUCCAUCCAAUGUAAUAAGUUAAUUAUAGACAAACAAAGCACAUUGAAUCCAAAAAUAUCAUGUUUAUCCCAAAACAAAAUGAAGUAAGUCUGCAUUAAUUUUUGGAUCAAUAUUCAUUUGUGAAUAAGCAAGACACAAGAUCUGGAAAAUUUAAUGUGACUGUAUAAAUAUCUAGUGUUAUAGAUUAGGCAUUUCCAAUUGAUACAAAGCCACACUAUUCAAUUAGCUAUUUUCAAUUGAAACUAGGUGAUCAUAUUUUUCAGCAUUUAAAAAGUCUACUUGACAUUUACCUGCCAAGCCUUAAAAAAAAAAUGAAAAAAGAUAUUUACUUGCCAAUCAGAAAAGCAAAAAAAAGUUAGCAGCAAAAUGUGAACUCUUAAAUGAAUUAAACUGAGACAGCAACCAUGUGCAUGAUAAUUUUAUAGUUGCUCAAUAUCAAUAAAGAUAACACCUUAAAUGUUAGUUCUAAUUAAUUUGCACUCUAUGUCAGAGAUAUAAGUAGAGUUUUGUUGCUACAACUAUUUUCACUACGAUACUGCUGCAAGAGGAUAAUUUAUUUUUAUUUUUAGAAGAAUCAGAUCUACUAUUUGAAAAAGGAUAAGAAAUGAUACAAAAAUAAAAAAUUAAAAGAAAACACUAGCAAACAGUAGUGGACGAAAAUUCAACAUUAUUAUUUAGUUUCUAAACAUCAGAAUAUAAACAGACUCAUGGAAAAGCUUUAAAAUAGGGGGAAAUUCACACAAACUUUUAUCAUAGCAUAGCUCAGUUUCACAAUAAUAACCUUAAACUACUAAAACCAAACCAAACCCUUAAGAAUACCUUCAAUGCAACAACACACCAAAGUACUUCAAAAGCUUCUUAAGAAAGAAAAAAAAAAAAACCACCCACUUUCAAUUACAUUGGUUGCUUUCUUUCUUGUUUACGCUUAAAGCCACAUCCACAGUUUUUCUGUCAAUUGGAGCAUAUAUAAUAUAUGACCCCACCGGAGAUGUGAAACUUUCCUGCAGAAUAACCAUUUGCCUCUGAGUAGGGAUGAAUGACUUAAUAAUUGAAAUGCAGUUUCCAUGAUAGGGUCCAUUUGAAAUGUGUGCGAUUUCAUGCAUUGGAUUUCCACAAGAAAGACCAUCCCACUGUGAUCGUUUUGUAGGAUCUUUGAGCAAUUCAAAAACUUUCUGAGCAGGCAGAGGGAGCCAAAGAGUGGUAGCAGCAGUUACAACAGUGCCAUUUGGCUGGCUUGUAUCAUUGUCGGUGGUAUCGCGAAGAGAGACUCUAAACCCCACCAAUGCUAUCAAGAGUUAAAUGGUUCAAUUCCACUUGACCAGGCAUUGUUAAGCAUUCACAAAACAUUUUGACCAUUCUAUCAGCAAGCUUUAUCACACUAUUCCUCCCUUCAAGUGUUUGGAUCAGCCUCCUCUCCUCUGUUGCCUCUUCAGCUUCCUCUAGAAGGGCUUCCACUUCAGCAAAUGCUUGAGCAGCAUAUGUGGCUGCCUCUUGUGAAGACAGGGACAUUAUCAUUGCUAAUUCUAAGUCUAACUCAGACUGUGUAGGGUUAUAGCUCAAAUCCCUGUCAAACUUCAUAGAGGCAUUCUGCCUCCCUUCCAACAUGGUGACGAUUUAUGUUGGAACAGAUAUGCUCGGGUAGGGGUAGGCAUAAUCCUGUACUGUUUCACCUAAAAUAUAAAACUCAACCCAUGAGUAUGAUCUCUAUUUGAAACCAGUAAAUGUAUAACAGUAAAUGAAGAAAAAACAUUGCAUCCUAAAAUAUUAUAAAGAACAAAAACUAUUUUUAAUUCACGUCAGAAAAUACUAUUUUUGCAGUCGACACUAAAAAAUGUAUAGUUGUAUACUAUAUACUAGAAUCUCAGGCCAAACUCACAAGCAGCAGCAGUAUCAAAGCAACAGAAUACAGAUAAUAGAGUAAAACAAGUAACAUUCUAAUUUCAAAUAGAUAUAUGCACAAUAUUAAGGAUUGUUUAUCAUUUCAACUCAACAAGUCACUAUUUUCAUUUUAUCCGACAUUUUAGUUUUUCUUUUCAGUCUCUCUCCAAAUCCUUGCCCUAAGAUUUUUUAUAGCUAUUACCUAAUAAGUAGGAGAAAUUUGAAUGUCAUUUAACCCUAAACAUAAAUAUAAUAUGUAAAGAACAUUUUGAAGUACCGUUUGUAAGAAGCCCUUCUUUUGAGAAUUAACUUAUUUAAUCAAAGAAAUCACACUCGUUUGUAGAUGACCACAAGAAAUCGAAAUCAUUAUCAAGGAAUAGCGUCCGAUCUCUACAAUGAACCUGCAACAAUUUUAGCAAAAAUUAGAAGAAAAUAGAUUACGAAUAAAAAUGAACACUUGCAAAAAAAAAACAAAAAAAUUGAGGAAAGUGGAAUUAGAUCUGAUCUAAGGCAUACCUUUGUGUAGUUUAAAAUACCAAAGGCUCACUCAUGACAGCUUUUUGUUUACAUUUGGUGGAGUGGAAGGAACAACAAAACGUGAAAGUGAUAAUUUGUGAGAGGGUUAAGGAUAGCAGCAGCAAAUAAUAAUAAUCUGAGAGUGAGUAGCAGCUGCAAGUGAGAAGGGCUACUUUGAAAACCCUAAUUAUCUAUUAUAUAUAUACUAGAGUCAUUCUUGCACAGUUGAGAAUCAAAAUGGGCUACCUGUUUGUUAUGGAUUCGGGUUUUGUUGGGUUGGGCCAGAAAGCCUUAGUUAUUUAAAUACGAAACAUUAUACUUUCACCUCUACAAAGGACAACCCAUAAAAAAUUCACUUUACCCCCCUCUUGUCAUUUGACUUCACCCCACAAAAUAUUUUCUCUACCAAUUUUUAAAUAAUGAAUUGGAUAAAUGACAGUCAAAUUUAUAAAUUGGAAAACAGAAAACAAGUAUUCCAAAAUCACUUUAUGUCUCUUCAAAAAUGACAGCUAAAUUUAUAACAUGUUCUGACGUGUUAGUGAAAUGGUGAAUGGUGAUAAUAAUUUAUUGAAACCAAACAAGAAUUGAAUUGAAAUAUUAAAAAGUUGAGAUAAAGAGUGUCGUUGUGAAAGAGAAAUUACUGAUCAAUUUCAUUUGGAGACAUUUAGUUUAUUAAUCAUGUGGUUGUAAUGCAGAUGUACAAAGUUUAUGGAUUAAUAAUAAAUAUUAAAAGAUUUGGUGGUGAAAUGAGAGAAGAGAAUUGGAGAUCCAGAAAAUUGAAAUGAGGAAGCGGACAGAAGAGAGAUGGAGAGGGAUAUCAUUUAAGACAAGAGAAUAGGAUAAAAUUCAACUAACGAUUGAUGAUAUAAUUUGUAAAAUUUAACUAAAGAUAUAUGAUAUAAUUUGUAGUGGUGAAGUCAAAUGGGAAUAGGAUAAAAUUCCAAUGGUAUAUCAUGUAUCGCGGUAAAGGUAUAACUAUAAGGGUACGUGGUAAAACUUUCAUAAAUACGAAUUCAAAAAUUAAUACAAGAGCCUGGUCAUAUAUAGGUUGCAGGCUAAAGAGGGUGACUCUUAUUUAUUUAUAUAAAAGUUCCUCAAAAUUUCUUAUAACCAAUAUUUUUUAUUUAUCCGAAAAAUAUACCUCCUCCAGAAUAAAAUAUAAACAUAAGUGGUAGUUGAAAAGUCGAUGUGUGGUUAAAAAUUUAGUCCAUGUAUAUCAAAUUCUCAACUACACUUUUUGCUUAUAUUUCAUUGUGGAUUGAGUAAUAAAAAAAACAAAACAUAAAAUUAAAAAUCUUAAUGUUUUGGAGUGAAACAACCUCAUUCAAGUUUAUCACCUUCCGUUUUAAAGCUAUGAUCUUUCCUAGAUUUACAAUUCAUCUAAAAUUGACCUAUUUUCUUUGUUUUGGUAUACAUGCAUUGAAUUUUCUUGUAAUUAUGCCAAACGAGGCAAAAUUGACCUAUUUUCUUAUAUAUUUGUGUAGUUACAUAAAGGCAAAAUUUUAGUGCUACAAAUUUAUUAUAGCAUUUGUAGUUAUAUGGGCCAAAUGAGGUACUCGUGACCCGUACUAGCUCUACUUAGGGAUUCAAUAAAAAGCCUAUAAAAAGUUCUAAUUGGAAGUUUAAAGCCAAAACCCAAUGUUUUUAUUUGGGUUGGCGGCUCGACAAAUAUCUCUAAUUGGAUUAGACAUGAUAAUUACUAGCCAAUUAGAAAAGAAAAACAAUAUCAGCGAUAUUAUUUGAAUUCAUAAAAAGAAAUAAACCGAAUUAUUAACCAUGUAAAAGAUAAUUUGAAACAUGAUCAAUAUCAAUAAAUAAUGAAAUCAUGAACGUCCUCACUAUAAUUCCAUGAUUUCACCAUAAACAUAAAAUCUAAACUAAAUUUUUGAGUUAUAUUUUUAUGGAGCCAUCCUUUUGAACUUCUGACUUAACAUCCCACAAAGUGAAUUUCUUUUGCCUCAGGUAGACGACUUUCUUCAUCCUUUUAAUCAUUCUAAACAUCUGAAAAUAGAAAGAAACACAAGAUUGACAUACCAUACCAAGUUGUCUCUGAAAGCUUAGCACAAAACCUAUAUGAACAGUAGAAACUAACUUUCAGGAAGGUAACAUGUUGGAAAGAUAGCUUUACAAAGGGAAUUUAAAAACCUAUACGACGAUCAAUAGUACAAGAGUUCAAAAACAAAAAAUGAGUAUCUAAUACGACAAAUAAAUACAAAACAACCAACAGCUAGCCAUGUUGGAUAAUAAUUCAAAAAGGUUAAUUAGUUUCUUAAAAUCUGAAUAUAGAAAAGUUUAACUAAGAGUAGAACAUCAAAGAUAAACAAUUACCACAACCAUAUCCCAUAAAAAUUGUCAAAGCAAAAAAACAACAUACCAAGAAGUGUUUCCAUCCAAUGCAAUUCAUUAAUAAUUGACAGAGAAAACACAGAAUCAAAAAAUAUCAUUUUUAUCCCAAAACAAGAUGAAGUAAGUUUGCAUUAAUAUUUGGAUCAUUGGAAAUGGUUUCAAAAAUAUCCAUACUCAUUUCUGAAUAAGGAAGACACAAUAUCUGGAAAAUUUAAUGUGACUGUAUCAAUAUAGGAUUAGGUAUUUUCAAUUGAAACUAGGUGAUCAUAUUUUUCAGCAUUUACUAACCAAUCAGAAAAGCAAAACAAAGUCAGCAGUAAAAUGUGAACUCGUAAAUGAAUUAAACUGAAACUGCAACAAUGUAAAUGAUGACUUUAUAAUUGAUCAAUAUCAAUAAAGAUCUACACCUUGAAUGUUAGUUCUAGAUUUCGAUGAUUUAACACUAAGCAUAAACAGAAAUUCUAAAGAAGAUUUUUUAGUUACGUUUCCUAGGUUUAGAUUUUUUUUUUUUAUCCAAAAAGACAGCAAUGGCGGUUGAACAGCUUCUUGAACACUUCAAAUGUCCGAUUGCACUUGAAAUCAUGUCUGAUCCCGUUAUCCUCUUCUCUGGUCAACCCUUAGACCGUUAUCCCGGUUUUUCGUAGCGUACUCCACAUAGUCUAUGAUGAUGGGAUAUGUAUAGAAAUGUUGAGGUAGGCACAAUCCUGUACUGUUUCAUCUUAAAUAUAAAACUCAAACCAUGAUUAUGAUCUCUAAUAGAAACUAGUAAAUAUGACAUUGAAAAAUGAGAAUAGCAUUCAAAUAUAGCUCACAUAAAUGUAUAAGACUAAAUGAAGAUAUAAUAUUGAUUCCUAAAAUAUUAUAAAGAACAAAAACUAUUUUUUAUUCAUGUCAGAAAAUACUAAUUUUGUGUAAGUCUACACUAAAAAAUGUAGAGUUGUAUACUAUAUACUAGAAAUAUCUCAGCCCAAACUCACAACCAGCAGCUGUAUCAAAGCAAAGAAAUACAUAUAAUAGAGUAAAACAAGUAACCUGCUAAUUUGAAACAGAUAUAUGCACAUUAUUACACGGACUAUUUCUCAUCAUUUCAACUCAACGAAUUCACUAUUUUCAUUUUAACUCGACAUAUUUAAUUUUUCUUUUCAGUCUCAUUUUCAACAAUGUUGCAAUGUUGCAGUUCAUUUUCAACAAAAGUAAGAUGCAAUCAUUCAUCACACAUAUCACCAUUCAAAAAAAUCAUACAUCUCUACACUUGCAAGAAUAAGAUGCAAUAUUACAAUAAAAGCAAUGUAAAAAAGGGGAUUUAGAAAUUUGACCAGGUCCUUCUUCUGUUGAAUUCUUUCUCCACUAAAUGUCACUAGCUUGAGUCUUGCUUAUUCCAAAAUCACCUGAGAGGAUGUGUACUAUUUCUAUAAUCUUGGAGAAAUAUUUUUCUUCAAGAAUUUCAUAAAUAGACUUCAAAUCAUUUCCUUCAAGAUUUGUAAGGUCAUUCUGUUUACCAAUUCCUACUGCAUCGAUAAGAGCUUCAACUCCUACUUCACUCUUCAAAGCAAAAACGUUGUUUUCUAACGACAAUUUUCCUCCCCAAAAAUUCUGACACACCUACAAAUUCCAAUGCGAUUGAAUUUAAUUUUAGCAAAAAACACAAGUGAAAGUGAAUAUUCAUUACAACAAUAAAUCUAAGCCAAAAAUUCUGACACACCUACAAAUUCCAAUGUGAUUGAAUUUAAUUUUUGAUCUCUAUGUCGUUAGAACUUUGACACAUGUGAGCUAUUUUAGCAUGACUUUAGGAGGAAUUUGGAUCCUCUGCAUGUCGAUGUUGCUUCUCUUAAUCACAGUUGCAUAGUGAUUUUCUUGAAGUUUCAAUGUGUAACUUUUGGAAAAUCGCACUGGCGCACUGUGAUCUUAUCAAACUCAAUGCCAGUUCAAACAUGCAUGAAAGUUUUUACUUGACUUACAAUGGGUUCAUAAAUGUAUCGUAUCUCAGUUUUCACAAAGUCGCAUGUAUGGCAGUAUAUUCCAAUUUGUUCAUCCAAUCGAUAAUCAUGUUCUCAUAUUUCCUUGAAUUCUUUCUUUGUGUCAGCUAAAUCCUCAUCAGCAUUUGCACCCUGCUAUGGUAAUUAAUAUUUGAACAUAAUCAGCCUUUAGCCUUAAAAUAGAAGAUAAAACCAAAAAACAAAGUAUUUAAUUCAUAUAUAUUGUGACUAAAACAUUUGCACACUGUCUAUCAAUCAUAAUUGUCACAUCCUUAAACAUAUUUGACUUGAACCAUAAAUGGUUCAAUGGUCAAUUAUAUGAUUUUGAAUUCAAAUGUGAAGGUGAUUAGAUUUUUCAACAUUAAAUUAGUGGCCAUGACAUGUACAAGCCAAAUAAAAAAGUAAAACAAGAUCAGCGCUGCACAAUCUAAAUUCAAAAAAUGAAAUAAAGUGAAUUAUUAAUCAUGUAAAAGAUAAUUCUAUACUUGAAUAUCAUUACUAUGACUCAAUGAAUUAACCCUAAACAUAAAAUCUAAACUAGAUUUAUGAGUACCAUUUGUCUGGGUUCAUCCUUUUGAGCUUUUGACUUGAAUCUCAUCAUAUUUGAAUUUGUAGCCUUUUUAAUCAAAGAAAUCACACUCGAUGUUGAAAUAAAACAAAAGAAUAAUGUCACCAAUAAACCACCAAAGAAAAGACAUGUAGCUGACGACAAAAAAUUAAAAUCAAGAUCAAGCAGUAGCUUCAACUCACAUGAAGCUGCAUCAAGUUGUUACAGAUAAGAAAUCAAAAUUAGAACACAAAAGUAAUAAAAUGAUUGGCAGAAAUUAUAAUGAACAGAUGCAAAAAUUUUGAAUCAAAUCCAAUGUAUACCUAUGUGUGGUUAAACCAGGGGUACCUUUUGUCUACAUUUUAGUUGAAGGAACAAGUGUUAAUUGAUGAUUGACUGUGGAUUCGGUAAUAAUUUGAAUUAGAGAUAGAGGCAGAUAAGAGCGGCCAGUGGUAGGAUUGUGCAAGUUUUCACUUUGGACCAAAAACACCCGCACCUUUUCUUUUUAAGUGAUGGGCAAAUAUGUAAUUUAAAAACUAAUAUUUGGGAUGGGCAAAAAUGUAAUUUAAAAUUUAUAAUAAAAAAUUAUUAAAUGUAUGUCACCUAGACCAAUACUCAUAGAAACUUAAUUAAUACUUUUACAAAAUGGCAUAUAUUUUCUCUUGUUAAGAUUUUACUUUGCUUUUUAAUUCAAAAAUGUAAUUUUCUACUUGACUUUUAGAGAAUGAUAAAUCAAAACUGAAUCAAACCGCACCGCGAACACCCGUAUCUGAUAGUUAUUUUUUAAAAUGUUCGAAAUCGUUAAGGUAGUAAAUUAAAACGGUAAGACCGAGUGUCCACUCGAGGAUCGCGCAUUAUAUUUUCAAAUUAUAUUUAUCUUUUAUCUGAACAAAAUGUUGGUUAAUUUGUUGGAUGGCAAUUAUGACAAUUAAGCAAAUUAAGAUUGGUUUGUAAUUAUAAAUUGUCAGAGAUGAGAUUCACUACCAUCAAUCCAAACAUAGCAUAAGUUAUCAACUUUAAUAUGACUAUCAAGUGACAUCAAAAUACAAUUUUUACAAGUGACAAAAUACAAUUUUUAAUAUCAGCCCAAAAUGAUAAUAUCCAAUGCAACACAAGACAAACAAAUGAUAUUCUUUUUAGUAAAAAAAAAAAAAAAAAAAAAAAAAAACAUGGAUGUGCUAGUUAAAUAAAUACAUUUUUUAUGUAAAUUGUACUGCCAGAUUCCUGAGAGGUCACUUGGUUGAAAGAUAAAUACUUUAACCUUGAGAAACUCAGUUCGAGACUUGGCAUCGUGAUAUGUGAUAAAACUUUGAUUAAAAAUGCAAAAAAAUAUGAGGUAUUUCAAAAUACCUCUCUUUUUAUCACUUUUAUUCAAUCUUUUUGGAUAUUCAUUUCGAAACAAUAGCGUUGGUGAAUCAGAACUGUUUUUUGAUCGAAAGCAACUGGCAAUGGAGGUGUUGAAAGUGCAUUGAAGUUAUCAUCCGAUAGAUUUUACGCCAACAUCCGUGACCAGCUAUGACUGCUUCAUUACAUGAUUUUGAGCUUUUCUUUUUUCUGUUUGUCUGGAUUUUAUGCGGUUUGUUGUAGAUAUGCAUCAAAGCUUCAUUAACAAUGGAAGAAGACCUGCCAAAGAAAUUAAAAUCAAAGAAUCUUAGUACUCCAAAAAAAUAAAAAAAUCGAUGUGACACCUAGGUGAUUGUGGUAAGCCAUAAUAUCAAGAAAAUUUAAUGUGAUUGUAUUAGUAUCUAGUGUUAUGGAUUAGGUAUCUAGUCACAAUAUCAAUAUAAUUAAAUAUCAAUAUCAAUAAAGAUAAUUGUAUAGAUGAAUCAGUAACCAUGUAAAAGAUAGUUGUGUAGAUGAAUCAAAAAAUAUUGAAGUCUUGAAUGCCAUUACUAGAAGUUGAUGAAUAAACGCUAAACACAAAAUCUAAAGUGGAAUUUUGAGUACCAUUUUUGUGGAGCCAUCCUUCUCAACUUCUGACUUAGGAGCCAAUCCUGGUCAAAUUUCUCGCUUUUUAAUCAAAGAAAUCACAGUCGAUAUUGACAUAGAAAAAUAGAACGAUGUCAACAAUGAACCGGCAAAGAAAGGACAUCGUUGAUGACGACAGUAAAUUAAAAUCAUGAUCAAGGAAGAGCAACAGGGCAAAAUGAUUAGGCAGAAAUUAUAAUGAAUUGAUGCAAAAAAGGGGAAUCAGAUCCAAAACAGCGUAUUGUUUACAUUUCGUUGGUUCUAUUUGAGCAGCAGCGGCAGAUAAUUGUGGAGUGGAGAGCAGACAGUGGAAGAAACAAAGUGGGUAGAAGCGGCUAGGGUUCCUUUCCACACCCUAUAUAUAUAGAAAAAUGCUAUUUCUCGCGACAGUUUCCUUCCCGAGAGUGACCCGAAUGACAUGUUGAUUACGUGUAAAAGACAUCUGGACAAAUAAUAAAAUCUUCCCCAAUUCAAAAACAUGUGUAAUUCUCCCUAGAUUCCGCGACCACCACACUUUCAUCCUCUCAUCCUGUUUCUCCCGACUCCUUUUUGUGUGUGUUUCGUCUCGCCGUUCCUUUGUUAUUACGCCGGCGUCGUUCCUUUGCCGUGUUUCGUUGUCAUUGUUCAAUUGCCGUCCGUUGUCGUUCCUUUGCCGUAUUUCGCCGUUCCUUUGCUUACUACAUUGAUUUUAUAUGGAAAUUGGGUAAAUUUCUCUAUGGAAUUCAAUCAAUUUUCUUUUAAAUUAAAUUGAUUUUUGGUUGUUCUCUUUCUGGUUUUAGUCAAUGUUUUUGGAUGUGUUCUGUUGAUUUGGUGGUUUUUUUGCUACUUUUGCUUUGCUUGCAAAUUUUUGUAGAGGAACAUUCCCUUCAAUUCAUGUUUGAGCUGAAAAACAUUAUGAAAUUCUAUCACCAAAGUUAAAUUUUUUAAGAAGAAAAUUAAGUAUGAAGCUGAACAGAAGAAGCAAAACAUUAUAAAAUUCUGUCACCAAAGUUAAAUUCUGACUUAGCUAAAAGAUUGGAUUCUACUCAGAUUCUUUCAAAUGAUGUUCUUUAAAUAGUAUCAUAGGUGUUUAUAGUAGUGGAUAAGUUCUAAGGUGUUUAACAAUAUCUCUAAGAGAGGGGAGGAGUUAGUAGAGCAAGUGUAGGUUCUCUCUUGGACUUGGAAUUAAAAUUUACUAUUUUUUUAUUAGAUAUUUGUUGUAUCCAUGCCUCUCUCUUGGUGUUCUAUUUUGUCCUUUGUAAUUUUAGUAUUAAUCUGGUUUUUUUCUUCCAAGUUCCAAUUCCCCAUAUCGUAGAUACAUUUAUGUUUUCUAAAAUAAGGGUUAGAGUUUUGUUGAUGCGAUAAAGAUGUAGAUUCUCUUCCUGAUGGUAGGGGUUCAAAACCAAACAAUUCCAAUAAAAAAAACUUGAAACUGAACCAACAGAAACUGCAAAAACCUCAAUUGGUUUAGAAGUUUUGGAAUUAUUAUUUUACUCAACCGCAUGGUUUGGGUUACUUUGUGAUUUUUAUUUCAUCGGUCGAAUGAAACCAAACCAAUUAACAACAUAAUAAAAAAACAUAUUAAAUAUUUGUCACCUAGACCAAUACUCAUAAAAACUUAAUGAAAACUUUUACAAAAUGACAUAUUUUUUCUCUUGCUAAGUUUCUACUUUGCUUUUUAAUUAAAAAAUGUAUUGUUCUACUUGAACUUUAAGAGAAUGAUAAAAUCUUAGUCUUUCACAUUUCUUACAAAAUGAAAUUACUUUUUGUCCAUGUUUUUAAUUUGAUUGGAUGAAAUAUAAAGCAUUGUUGGAAACAUUGCUCGAAAUAUGUUGUGUUUUUGCAUUUUAAAUUAAUUUUAAUGUUGGAAACAAAAAAUUGUAUUGUCUCGAAAAAAUUCCGAACCAACUGAACCAAUCAAAGCCCAUUGGUUUGGUUUUGUUCGAAAGACUUUUUAAAAGCUAACUGAAACAAACUGAACCGCAUGGUUUUUUUUAUCUCAGGGUUAGGAUGAAAUUUAUGCUUAAAACUGAAUCAAAUCGAACCGCGAACACCCCUACCUAAUAGUUAUUUUUGAAAAUGUUAGAAAUCGUGAAGGUUAUAUUUUUAAACAGUAAAACCUAGUGUUGACUCGAGGAUCGUGUUAUAUUUUUGAAUGAUAUUUUUAUAUUAACUAAACAAAAUGUUAGUUAAUUUGUUGGAUAACAAUUAUGACAAAAGCAACUUUAAUAUGGCUAUUGAAUCCCUUUAUCUCAUUACUAUCGAAUUCUCUAAAACACUUUUGCCCUAAUUCCUUAGUGACAUAAUAGUAAUUUCUAAAAUAACCCAUGAUCCCUUAGUGACUUUAAGAUUAAAAUUAAGAAUGAACAUACAAGAAUUAUCAAUUGAUUUCAAGGGAUUGUAUCUAUUCCUAUACUACAAAGGCAAGAAUUGCUUAUCUCAAAGUGUUAAUAAAUUAAAUUUCCAUUUAACAAUAUGAAUUGUAAAUUAGCUUAAACACGCUCAAGCGUUAAAAACAUUCUGCAUGGAGAUAAGAAAAUAAUUUUGAUAAAUUUCAUCAAUAAUUAAUGAUAAGAUCACUUGACAAAAGUUUUUCAUCUAGUUCUUCUCAUUCCCUAAAAUAGAGGAUUUAGUUACUCUUGAUAAAUAUACAAGAGAUAGAGAUUGAAUAAGAAUUGCGAGAAAAAUUCAUGAAUGAUUCUUGAAAAAACUCCUUCAAUGAUGUUAAGUUACAUUAAGCCUCGCUUCCCUACACUCCAAAUUUUCAUUACCAAAAAUAAAUGCAAUUCUCUCUAAACAUAUCAAUUCAAUCUCCAACUAUUCUUGUCCCAUCACACCUAACUCCACUAUUGGUUUAAGUGGAAAUUGCAGCAAGCCACAUUUAUUACUAAUGUUAAUGUCCUUCCAUUCGUAUGUUGGAAUGCCAUUUUGUGCAUUCCAUGGAUCAACCUUUAUGCCAAAUUCGUAUGAAACUAUUCUUUCUCAGCUAUUGGAAUUUUUAUAACGACGUGUUUAAAGAACCUACUCAGCUUCCACCUUCAUGUACUAGGUUUGAUCAUAAAAUUGCUUCAAAGGAAGGAGUGCAACCUUUAAAUAUCAAACCUUAUCGGUUUUCUCUCAUUCAGAAAAAUAGGGCAUAGUGCAACAUAGUACUAGUAUGUUUGCCUUUUCCUAUUAUCCAUGUCCGCAAGAUGGAUGGAUCAUGGAUCAUGUGAUAGACUAAUAUUAACUUGGUGGAGAGUAUUCAAAAAUUCAUUUCCUUUAUUUCUAUAUGAUUACUAGUAUUAAUAUGGUUUCUAUGUCAGAGAUUCAAAGAAAAUUUGCUGCUUCAAAUAUUUCCAAGUAAACAACAGAAAACCAUCGUUGAUUAAAAUCCAACAAAGGUAUUUAGUUUCUCAAAAUAUGAAUUUAUAAACGUCAAUCUCAGACUAGAGCAUCAAAGCUAUUAAAGAAGUUUAUAUUACGUUGCCCAUUGAUUCCAAAGAUGUAUUAUUUAUGCCAAAACGGAAUGAAGCAAGUUUACAUAUAUAGGAAUAGUUGAUGAUAUUUAGUUGGCAUAGAAAAAUGGAUAUGUUACUUCCGUGAUAAGACUAAUAAAAAUGAAUAGUUUACUUCUGUUAUAAAGUAUACUUACAUGGACAUUGUAAACUAAGUUAAGUCAAAUUGAUACAUAAACAAGUUAAAACAAGUAAUAUAUUCAAUAGUUCAAGGCGUCAGGCAUAAAAUUGUCUAUAUUAAAAAAAAAAAAAAUUAACAUCAUCAGGGAUAUCCCAAUAGUGGUAGACACUUAAAAAGUACAACACAUUGUUGGCUAUAGAGGCAACUUAGUCAUUAUUAAACUGCAAGUUAGAACUUAAAAUAUUUCAUUUCCAUAGUUCCAUUUCUAUAAAGCUAUUUUUUACAACAUUUUGUACUAAAUAGAGUAUCAUGGAAAAUAUCAAUAUGUCCAAACCCUGCCCCCACAAUAGCCACUAUUUAACAACACUACAUUUCAAAAAAGUCAAAAACUUUCCAAGAUCAUUUAAGUUAGAUUUUAUAACAAGUUACUCCUUAAGUUUUUUUGUUACCAAUUGGUCUUUUAAGUUUCUUUUUGUUAUAAAUUGGUCUUUAAGUCAAAGAAUAUUAACACAGUCAACAAUGUUUUCAGCCAACUUCGUUAAAAAGUUCUUAUGAAGCAAUUAACAUAUAUAGGUGAUAGGUCCAAAAUUGUGCUUAUGACAUGACACAUGAUUACUUACGCACAUUCUCAUUUUGUUUUUCAAAUCAAUCAUAAUUUUACAAAUAAACAUUACUUUAUCAACAAUAUUAUAAUUCAAGUAAUCAAUCACUUUUAUUUCAAAUCAAAGUAAAAUAACACACAUAUGAACCCUAGUUUUGAGAGAAGUGAAUUCCAACAUACCAACUUAAAAUUAAACGUCCACAUAAAUUUUUUUAACUGGGUGUGAAGAAAAUAUAAUAUUGUUGCAUAUAUUUUAUGAAUUAAUCGACCAAUUUGUAACAUAAGUCCAAGGCUGAUUGUUUUAACUUCUACAUCUUUAAAAGAUUUUCAGUGCUUAUUAGAGAGGAGGUUGGUGUUCUUUUCCAGCAACUUUUCUUUAACGCCUCGCUCCCUAAAAGCUUAUCCUAUUUAUCUUGUGGGUUUAAUCCCUAAAGUUUAUACCCCUCAAUCUCUUGGUGAGUUUCGUCCUAUCUCUCUUCUAGGUUCCCUGUAUAAGCUGGAUGCUUCAAGGUUGGCCUCGGUGAUGGAUAAAACCAUCUCGUCUAACCAGUCAGCUUUACUUAAAGGUAGGCAAUUGGUGGUUGGAGUGGUAGGGGCAAUGAGGUUGUGGACCUAGCCAAAAAAGCUAAUCAAAAUUACCUCAUUUUUAAAAGUGGACUUUGAGAGAUAUUAUGACUCAGUGAGUUGGAGUUUCCUGGACUGUUUGUUGAAUAGAUUUGCUUUUGAUGAUAAAUGGUGUGCUUGGAUGUGAGCUGGUGUUUUGGCAGGUAAUUAAUCUCUCAAUGCUUGUGAAUGGGCGUCCAACUAUAGGAAAUUAAUAUUUAGCAAGGUCUUAAAGUUGGUAGAUCUAGGUUGUCUAUGACGCACCUUCAAUACGAUGAUGAUACUCUUUUCAAAUAAAAGGCAACAAUGGAGAACCUUUGGGCAAAUAAGACAAUCUUAAAGGUGUUUUAAGCUUGCCUCAAGUCUUCGUGUAAAUUUUGGUUCGUGUAAAUUUUGGUAAGAGUUGUAUUAUGAGAAUUUAUGUUGAUGCAUCUUUCCUUAGCCCACUGUAGUAUUGGUGAUGAAUACUCUAGUAACUGGUAUGAGCUCGUGGAGUAGUACGUUUGUUAGUUUGGAAGGGAGGGUGUGAUUCUUUUAGACUCAGUACUUUACUCUAUUCCACUAUUUUUCCUCUCCUUUCUGAAAAUGCAAAAUGGUCUAUGUGCUUCUCCUUUUUUAUUUAUAUAUAAUAUAUAUAUACUAACUAUUUAUAAAAAUUUAUGCUAGAUGAAUUUCCAAUUUUGCCCUCUUGAGGGGCAAUUUUGUAAUCUAAUAAGUGUUUAAAGUUUGGUAGUGCCACCUCAUUGCAUUAACUACUUUCUUCUAUAACUCAGUUCUCGCAUUUGGAGACUUGGUUGAGCCAAAAAAACACUAUUUCAUCUUCUUAUUCAUCAAAGGUAAUUUAUUUCUCUUUUCAUGAAUCUAAGACCAUGUAUUUCUUGCAUUGAAUGAGUUUUCUUCAUUUUGUGUUUUAUUUUUGUUUUUCAUAUGAGAUUGCAUGUUAGGAUUUUGUUUUUUCCUUUAAUUUUUUUUCAUUCGCAGGUGAUUUUUAUAUUUGUUUUUGUGCACAGGCAAUUUGUGGGAUAAUUAGAACAAUAGGACAACCAUUAUUUGAUGAAUACAGUGGAAAUUAUCAGAUCAAGGCAAUUGAGUCUUGCUACUCUUCCUCCUACUAUAUGUGGUAAGUCGAUCUUUUCGUGUUGUGUUUUAUCGUAUAACCUGAAAUUCAACUGUUUUAGAAGAAAUUUCAUGUUAGUACAUGAUUACAUGUCUUUGUGUGUCAUAAAGAUAGAAUAGUAUAGGUGCAAUUGAGUUGAGGAGAUCAAUGGGAAGGUUGUGUCAUAAGAGUUCUUAUCCCUGAUUAUAGUUAGGCUUCCUGGGUCAUAAAAUGAACAUAUAUUAAUUGAAUGAAAUUACUGGAUGAAAAUACUAACUGAGUUAAUAUAUGUGAAUCAGACAUAGCUAUAACGCGCGCAUAUAAUCUUAGCCGAAGGGCAUUAUAUGCGCGCGUUGUACCCUUUUAGAAAGUGAGAUACAAAUCACACCAACAUUAAUUCCUAAAUUUUAAACCAGUAUUAACAGAAAAAUAAACAAACUCUUAGCGGCCAGAUAAAACAUCAAACGUUGUAAAUUUUGUGGCCACACUAAUCCUUAUUCAUUAGGUACUUCAAAUUGAAACUAAGAGGUGGUCAUACUUUUCAAAUUUUAAUUUGCAGACAUGACAUAUAAGUACGCCAAUUCGAAAAGCAAAACAAAAUCAACAAUAUAAUAUGAAUUCACAAAAUGAAAUAAAUUGUACCAAAAACUACUUAAAAGAUUUUUUUUAUUGAAGAUGUUAAAUCAGUCCAACAAAAUUGGUGGCAACGAAAAUCAAAAUGAGAACUUGAGUGGAGUAUACUCAUGAUCUAAUGUCAACACCAUCAAUCUAAUCCAAGUGGCUAGAAAACUAUUUAAAAAAUAAUUUGAGACAUGAUCAAAAUCAAUAAAUAUCAAAUCUAGAAUGUCAUUACUAGAAUUCAAUAAUUUCAUUAAACAUGAAAUCUAAAUUAAACUCUUGAACUUCUGACUUAACAUCCCGAAUAUGAAAAUCUAAAAUGUCAUUCCUAGAAUUCGAUAUUUUCACACUACACAUAAACACAAAAUCUAAAAUAAAUUUUUGAGCAAUUAUUUUGAAUUUCUGAAUUAAGAUCUCAUCAUAUGGACUUUCUUCUUCUCCCUUAGGUGGACUUUCCUCUCCCUCAUAAAAUGAAAUUCAACUCACCCUUACAUGGGCUUGAAUCAUGCAGCUGUUCCAUUAUCAUUGCGCAAGAUGUUGGACAUAUAUGACUUCAAUCUUAUGUUUCUCCAUUACAUAAAAGAUUGUGAUCAACAUGUCUGGUCUCUUGGUUGAGUAUAUGCAAAAUUGUGCUUCAUCUCCGCAAACACUAAAGGUAACAUUUAGAGAAAACAACAUUUGAUCAAAAGCAACUGGCAAUGGAGGUGUUGAAAGUGCAUUUGAAGUUAUCAUCUUAGAGUUAUUACUCCAACAUCAGUGAAUUUUACUGCUUCACUACAUGAUUUGAGCUUUUCUUGUUUCUGUUUGUCUUCAUUUUAUGCAGUUUGUUAUGGAUAUCCAUCAAAGCUUCAUCAAUAGUGGAUUAAAUCCUGCCAAAUAAAUCAAAAUCAAAGACUCUUAGGACUCCAAAAAAAUAAAAAUAAAAUCAAUUUGACACCUAGGUGGUUGUAUCAGUUAGUCAUAAUAUCAAGAAAGUUUAAUGGAUUACAUAUUAUAUCAGUUAGUCAUAUUAGUAUCUAGUGUUAUGGAUUACAUAUUUUCAAUUGAAACGAGGUGAUCAGAUUUUCAACAUUUAAUUAGCAGCCAUGACAUGUACUAGUCAAUUUGAAAAGGAAAACAAGUUCAGCAGCAUAAUCUAUACGUGAUAAUUCUAUACAUGAUCAAUUUCAAUAUAAUUUAAUAUCAAUAUCAAUAAAGAUAAUUGUAUAGAUGAAUCAGUAACCAUGUAAAAGAUAGUUAUAUAGAUAAAUCCAUAAAAAUCGAAGUCGUGGAUGUCAUUACUAGAAUUUGAUGAAUUAACCCUAAACAUAAAACCUUUUUUUUUUUUUUUUUGAAAGACAUAAACAUAAAAUCUAAAGUGAAAUUCUGAAUACCAUUUUUGUGGAGCCAUUCUUCUCAACUUCUGACUUAGGAGUUGAUGCUGGUUUAAUGCCUCGCUUUUUAAUCAAAGAAAUCACACUUGAUAGAAAAAUAGAAGAUAUCACCGAUGAUCCACCAAAGAAAGGACAUUGUAGAUGAUCAAGGAAUAGCAAUAGGUCAAAAUGAAGCUGCAACAAACUGUUACAGAUAAUAAAUUAUAAUUAGAAUACGGAAGUAAUAUGAUGAUUUGACAGAAAUUAUAAUGAACAGAUGCAAAAAAGUGCAAUCAGAUCCAAUUCAUACCUGUGCGUAGUUAAACCAAAGCAGAGUUUUGUCUAUAUUUGAUUGGUUCGAUUUGAGUUGAUAUAUGAAUGACGGUGGAAUCAGUAUAAUAAGUUGAGCAGCAGCGGCAGAUAAUUGUGAAGAGCAGCGGCUAGGGUUCCAUUCCAAGCCGUAUCUAUCUAAAUGUAUAUAUAGCAUUGUGCAAAUUUUCAAUUUGGACCAAAAGCCCCAUAUUUUCUUUUAAAGUGAUGGGCAAUUAUGUAAUUUAAAAUCUACUAUUUGUGAUGUGCAAUUUUGUAAUUUAAAACUUUAUAUUUUUUUAUUAGAUCUUUUGUUGUAUUUCAUUUUUUUUUUGGUUACAUUUUGUUGUUGUUGUUGUUGUAUUUCAUAUGUUUCUCCAGGUUCUUUUUUACGCUUUGUAAUUGUCGUAAUUAUUCAUCCAAUCUAUCUCUAAACCAUGAGGCAACUGAUAAAGAGUACAAUUAGACUUAAAUAAUUGAUUUAGAUAUUAAACUUAAGGUUUUAUCUCACCAUUAUCACCACCUUUAACAUUAUCAAUUAUCAUAAUUAAUAGCACCAUAUCUAAAAUUUACCUUGGACUUAUCAUUAACUUGAGAGAAUAACUUUUAAAAAACCUAAACAUGCUUCCCUCGUUUAAGUACAAUUAUAUGGAACCUUAAUGUUUAAUUUCGGAAUCCAAAUGUGGAGAAAAAAACAAAGUUCCCCGAUGUUGUCAAGGGGGAACAACCGUGCACCCCACAUGCACGACCGUGCGCCUGUGCUGAAGCAAAGAGGAAGGUUUUCGCAAAAAAAUUUGGCACGGUCUGUGCUUCCCAGGCACACGACCGUGCACAACUCUCAAAUUACAGAAAUCGCAGAAUUUAUGCGAUUUCACCCAUGGGGCCUUCCCAAGCUCCGUAUUCGAUCCCUAACUAAACAUCACCCUAAGUUUACUCGAACAUUUAAACAUUAAUUUCCUCACAAUUCACCUAAUUACAACAACUUCUCACAUGAUUAAUGUUAUCAUGGUUUUUGGGUGCCAAGCCAUUAAUUGGACUUGUACCUUUCGACCGUUGAUAUCUCUAUUUUUUCUUGGGAAGGGCAAAAUUGAGAAAAACCCUUAGAUUCUAAGUUCGGGGGUCGGUUUUACUACGGGAAGGUGUUAGGCACCCGGAGUAACUAUAGUCCUCUAUAGGAGCCGUUUUCCUAAGUCUAUAUUCGCGCUUAUUUUUGCUUACUUUUGAAAAUGGGAGGUUUAUUUAGUUAAGAAUGGGGGGAGAGAUUGUAAGACUUUGAUUUUAUUUCGGCUUGGAUGAGUUUUGACUCAUUGCCUACGUACCGUUUUACGGGAUCAAAACCGGCGUAGUUCUUGCUAAAAAGACUUGUUUUUCUUUUGUUUUAAUUGUUUGAUUUCAAGUUUUGAAAAAAAGGUUUUGAAGAAGGAGAUUGGGAGGCUUCAUGAGCAUUAGAUUUUAGCAAAAGGUAAGGUUUGAUUAGUGAUUUCGAAAGAAAGUCUAAAUGAUUAAGAUGAAUUGAAUUUUUCUUAAGAAAAAAGAAAGGAAAAAAUGAAGUGUUGACUUCAUACUUAUUAUGAAAAUUUUUGAAGUGAAGUUCAAUUGUUUUUUUUUUUGAAAAAAGAUGGAUUUUCUCUAAGCGUUUAAACCUAAGCGCUCAUCUAACCAUACAAUCCUAUGCAUACAUCUAAGGUGAGUGUGUGCGUGUCGGUGCGUCAUAGUGUCCAUAGUCCAUAUUACAAAAAUUGCCUAAAUACAUUCUAUGGCCCCUUUGCCAAGCUACAAACCAAUGAUAACAAAUUACAUUACCAAAUGAAUUAAAACUUGCAAAAAAAACAAAUGCUAGGCUAAAAAGUGGAGGGAAUGCUAAAUGAGAUGCAUGAAACAUGAGAUGAAAUGGUUAGUAACCAUAAAGCACAAAAUAAUAGGAAAUAUUCAAAAGGAAAUGCAUAAAAAUGGCAAAGAAAAGGUAAUAAAGUGGCAAUAAACCUAAAAACUUUGAUGUGAUACCUAAAGGUGCUUGUAACCCAUAAUCAUCACAUCAUGGCAAUUUUGAAAGAAAUUUUGUUUCAAGCCAUGACAUGAAAUUAAUGGAAACAUAUGCAAGCAAGGUAUCACACCAAAUUCAUAGAGAAAUUUGACACUUUAUUCCCUAAAACAAACACUUGUUGCUUGUAAAACAAGAAAUCCAUAAAAUCAUAUUCAAAACAGCAAAAGAAACACAUGUUCAGAGGCAUAUUCAUCAUAAGAUAUGGCAUCAUUUAUUCAUAACACAUAUCAAAGUAUCAAGAACAAAAACAUAGCAAAAAGUACAUCAAAAGUGUAAAAACACAUGGAAAUUAGUUCAUGCCAUUUUAACAUUUUUUACAUGCAAGAAAACACCAUAAAAAUGCCAAAAAUAUACCAAGAAACAACUAGGAUUUUUCAGGAAUUUUUAUAAAAAAAAAGGUAAGCAAGUAGCAGGUUCAGAUAGCAAGAAAGGCGGUGCAAAUAGCAAGAAAUUAACAAAAAAACGUAAAAAGAAACAAGCCCAAACCAAAGCCCAAUCCUACAAGGUCCGGAAGCAUGGGAUCCACACGAUUGAUCCAGGAUUCAAAAACCCUAGAUCAAACGGCCAGGAAUCAAAGGGGAAUGGACCGGAUUGAACCGGUCCGGUUCGCUGGCCUAUAAAAAUGGAAGGACACCGGUUUUUUCAUUUCUCUACUUCCCUUUCUCUCUCUAAGUUCUUCCCUCUUCUCUCAUCUCUCAUCUCUCUCUAAACCCUCACCGGAUUCUGGAAAAACACGGAAGAUCUUCAUCUUCCCCGGUGAGUUUUGCUCCUCCGGCGUGGUGGCCGGCCGCCCAAGGGUGGUGGCGCCGCCGCCGGAGUUGAACAAACUUCACCGUUUUCAAAAAAAACUUACAUUUUCAGAUAUCCUUUUCCAUCCUAAACACGAAUAUGACACUGGAUUCUUCAUGCAAGGCGUGAAUCAACGUAGAUCUACGUUUUUGUGUCACGGUUUUGAGAAAAAAAAAAAUUUAGGUUUUCAAAGAAUUUUUAAAAGAAGCUUGUAACACCUCAAGAUCUACAUUGAUUCCGUGUUGGCUAUCUCUCUGGCACUCGUCCUUGCUUACAACUUCUGGAUUUCUAUGGAUCUAUGUUUUUGCUUACGGUUAUGAUUUUUUUUAUGAUUCUGGAAAUUUUUUUGGAUCUUGUUUGCAGGUUUAACAGUGAUUAUGCUUUUUAAAGAGAGAAAACUGAGUUUUACCUGAAUUUUGGUUGAGAUUCUUGAAGGAGAAAAUCUUCGGAAAACUUGAACGUUCUUUGAUUUUCUCUGAACCGAAAAUAAAUCGGUUUACUGGCUUGGUUUCUUCAUCUUCUCCGGUUCUUUCUCUGAUUAUACGUUUGAACUUGCUUCUUUGAUUUCUUUGCGAGAGGCUCCCCGUGAUCAACGCUUGAGCUUGCUUUGAUGCGAGCUCGCGUUUGGAAUUGCAGGGAAUCAAUCAAUUCAGUGAUGAAGAUUCAUACGAAUCUCUGAGAAUUGAUGCGAAAAACACUGAAACUUGAUGAAUUUGUGACUUUCUGGAAACGGUUAGGGUUUUGUGUUCUUCGUGUUCUUGAUGAAUCUGAGAAAUUUUCUGUUUUGAUCUAACUGAUUGGAGAGAGAAUCUGAAAAUGUGUUUGUUGAGUUGGCGUCUAGUUAAUGGCAUUGAAUCUUACACUUGGCUCUAUUUAUAGCUGACAUGUGUUGCCUUUGAACAAAUGAGAAAGUGACACCUGGAUUUGGAGAAGAAAAUGGCACGGCUUGGACUAAAAAUGAAAUUGGACCUUUCUGCAAAAUUGAAAAAUUAAGGGACUAAACUGCAAUUGACAAAAAGGACUGAAAUGUAAAAAAGAAAAUUCUGGACUGAAAUGCAAUUUUGGGACCUCACUUGAGGGACCAAAAUGCAAUUAAAAAAAUAAAAUUGAAUAAAAAACGUAAUUUGACCAAACGUAAAGCGAAACAAAACAAAAAAUAAAAUUGACAAAACGGACUAAAACGAACCAAUGGCCUAAAUGAGGUACUUCAAAGUAACCUCCCCAUGCCAAAAUUUCAUGUGAAAUGACCAAAAUGCCCCUAGGAUUAAAAAUGACCUAAACAGAGCCAAAAUGACUCGACACUGACUCAGAUGCAAGUUUGAAAUGAAUUUAACAAGAUUUACUGAUGAAAUGUUAAAAAUCAAUCUGAAAAGACUCAGAGACAGUCGCAAGGAUGAAAAUGGGUCCCACUGUAGGAAAUGACCAAAAUACCCUUCUGUACGACUUUUUGCAAAUUUUGAAAUAAACUGUAGAAAAAGCAAUGUAAUGAUUCAGAGACACUUUUGAAUGACUUACAAGACAAGUAAAGACAUUUCGAAAGGUUUUAUGCAAGAAAAACAUAGGUAAAAUUGUGAUUGAAAAAACUGCGAGGCAGAGACAAUUUGAACUGUGCAGUUGAAAUUUGAUAAUUGACAAAGUUUGAAAUGAAAUUGGGCCCAGUAUUUUUAGGUCCAAAAACAGGGUAUAACAGCUGCCCCUAUUUAAGUUUCUUUGUCUGGAGAGUCAAGAGACGGAAUCUUUGGCUUGACAGGACGAAGAUACUUAAAUAUUAGCAUUUGCACUGUGUUUGGACGUAAAAAUACGCCUACCCAUUUUCAAAUAAUAUGCAUGCCAUGCAUCAUUUGGAUUAUGAAUGCAAGACCUCAUGGGGAUUGGAAUUAACAAAAUAUGUCGUAUCCAUUGCGGGAUUGGUAGACAUUGACGAAGAUAGUGAAUAGCAGAGUAACGGGAAACUAGAAACAAGUUGGACAGGUACAAGCUGUUCUUGGAUUCAAACUAGCCACUUGACCGGGGAUGAAACAAACAGACAACUGCGAGUUGUUCUUAUGGAUUCGAACUGGUCACUUCACAGGGGAUAGAGGUUACUGGACAAACAUGAGUUGUUCUUAUGGAUUCGAACUGGUAACUCACUUGGGGAUGUUGGAAAGUGCGAGUUGUUCUUAUGGAUUCGAACUGGUGACCCGACUGGGGAAAUUGACAAGUACGAGUUGUUCUUAUGGAUUCGAACUGGUUACUCGACUGAAAGCAAGGCAAAUGGACAGGUGCGAGAUUGUUCUUGGAUGCGAACUGGUUACUCCACCGGACAGAAACAGAUAGACAGGUACAAGCUGCUCUUGGAUUGAGCUAGUCACUUGAUCAAACGGAAACAUAUUGACAGGUACAAGCUGCUCUUGGAUUGAGCUGGGCACUCGACCUAUAGCAUAAGCAAAUUGAUAGGUACAAGCUGUUCUUGGACUUGAACUAGCCACUUGACCAAACAGAAACAUAUUCACUGGGGAUUGGUUUUGUUCUGACAAAAUAUAGAUUGAGAUUGACUUGACGUCGAUUUGAUUUGAAAGGUAGAAAUUGACCGAUAUUAUUGGCUCACAAGGUUUUGACAAAGAACCUGACAUGAGUUUCGAAUUGAGACUGAUGUUGAUGUUGGAAAUGCGAUAUGCAUGGAUGAUAUAACAGUUUUAUUAAAUGCAUGGGCACGUAAUAUGCAUGAUUAUGCAUGUAUGAAUGCUUGUAAUGCAUGACUGUUGGCAUUUUGUAGGCACGACUUCACGGGGAAGACAAGACAUCAGAGUAUUGGGCACGUAGUGGCUCGUGCUAUAUUACACAUUCUUGGAAAUCCUCUUUGGAGAUGACGUCGUUGGGAGACGUAUCGGAACCAUGGCUGAGGGCAGGUAGCUAUACAACUUGCUGGAAAUUGAAUCUCGGAAGGCUUUACUGGGGAAAACGCCGUUAUGCUGGGCAUUUCAGUGCUGGGUACGUUGUAGACAUCGCAUCUGUGGUCAAUGCUUUUUGCAUGCUAUUUUCUCAUUCUCAUUUUUCGCAUCCCAUUUUUGCCUGGAUCGCCCUUUCGGGUUUUCGAUCCACCGGGGAAAUAGAUUCUUUUCAAUGCCCCAUUUUUGCCUGAACUGCCCUUUCGGGUUGUCAAUCCAGCGGGGUGCUCAUUUUUGCCUAAGCCGCCCUUCCGGGUUUUCAACUUAGCGAGCCUUUUCAUUUUCAUGCAUUUUCAUUCUGUUUUUUCAUUCUUGCCAUUGACCACAGAUUAUCUUGGAGGAGAACCUGCUUGUAACAUAUAUUGAAAUAGACAUUAACAUACUCUCGCUCAUGCAUGUUUCAUUUGAACGUACCCUGUUGCUCAGGCUUGCUUUUCAAAACAGACAAAAAGUUUUCAAUUUUCAAAAAUGUUUGUUUCAAGCAUUGUCAUUAUCAAAAUAGAAAGAAAAUGUUUUGUAUACAGCUUUGAAAGUAGAAGAAAAAUAGAGUUUCAAACAACAGCACAAGCUCAAUUUGAUGUAUAAGAGUGGUGGUCAGCCGAAGGCAUGACUCCACGGAUUCACAAAGCUUGGAAAAUGGUAAUUUUUAUUGGUUGGUGGUACAUUGAACACGGUAACCACUACAGUUCUUAGAAACUUUGAAUUCACAAGUACAGAAGCUUUUGAUGAAGAUAGGCAUUAACAGCUGCAGAUGCCCCAAGGGGGACGGUGGUUGGCCAGAUAUAGUUACUUGCCUUUUGUUUCAAUCUCAUUUUUGCAUGAACCGCCCUUCCGGGUUUUCGGCUCAUCGAGACGCUCAUUCUUGCCUGAGUUGCGUACAAUCUCAGCGAGCUUUUCAUAUUUGUUUUUUUUGUCCCUUAUUUUUGCCUGGACCGCCCUUUCGGGUUUUCGAUCCACCGGGAAGCGCAUUUUUGCCUAGGCCGCCCUUUCGGGUUUUCGACCUACCACGCUGUUCUUUUCACAUUUCUAGGCAAAGUAUUUCUUGACUAUAUCGGCAUUCACUGGAUUUGGAAGCUCUACACCAUCCAUGUGUGUAAGGAUUAAAGCACCACCGGAGAAGGCCUUCUUGACAACAUAAGGACCUUCAUAGUUAGGCGUCCACUUGCCCCUUGGGUCGGGUUGCUGGCUUACCCUCCUUUUCAAUACAAGUUCCCCUACCUUGAAUUCUCGAGGAUGGACUUUCUUGUCAAAGGCAGUCUUCAUUCUUGCUUGAUAUGACUGUCCACGAGCCAUGGCAUCCAUACGUUUUUCCUCAAUCAAAUUCAACUGAUCAUACCGGCUUUGGCACCAUUCAGCCUCAGAUAACUUUGCUUCCAUGAUCACACGGAGAGAUGGGAUCUCCACUUCCAAAGGAAGAACCGCUUCCAUACCAUAUACAAGAGAGAAAGGGGUUGCCCCGGUUGAACUGCGCACGGUAGUGCGGUAGCCAUGCAGAGCAUAGGGUAACAUCUCAUGCCAGUCCUUGUAAGUGGUUACCAUCUUCUGGACAAUUCUCUUGAUAUUCUUAUUGGCGGCCUCAACUGCACCAUUCAUCUGAGGUCUAUAAGGAGAAGAGUUAUGAUGCUCAAUUUUGAAUUCUUCACAAAGAGCUUGCACCACAUUGUUGUUCAGGUUGGUACCAUUGUCGGUAAUAAUCUUGCUGGGAACACCAUAUCGACAGAUGAUGUUGUUCUUGAUGAACUUAGCUACCACUUGCUUGGUCACAUUGGUAUAAGAUGCUGCUUCAACCCAUUUGGUAAAGUAGUCAAUUGCCACUAAGAUGAAACGAUGACCAUUUGAAGCUUUCGGUUCAAUUCUUCCAAUCAUGUCGAUGCCCCACAUUGAGAACGGCCAUGGGGAUGACAUAACACUGAGAGCAUGCGGAGGCACAUGAAUCUUAUCAGCAUAGAUUUGACAUUUGUGGCAUUUUCUGGCGUACUGGUAGCAAUCAUGCUCCAUAGUCAUCCAGUAGUAACCUGCCCGUAGCAACUUUCUUGACAUAGUAUGCCCUGUAGCAUGGGUCCCGAAGGUACCGUCAUGUACAUCAUGCAUUAACUGCUCUGCCUCAUGUUCAUCAACACAUCUUAACAAUACCAUGUCAUAGUUUCUCUUGUACAGAAUAUCUCCAUCUAACAGGAAUCUACCGGCCAAUCUUCUCAAGGUCUUCUUGUCUUGUUUGGAAGCACUCGGCGGAUACUCACGGCUCAGCAAGAACUGUUUGAUGUCGUAGUACCAAGGUCUAUAGUCAACCACAUUUUCACCAGCUUGAUCGAUCACAUCCCCAAUAGCAAACACAUGUGAAGGUCUUUCAAGGCGUUGCACUUUGAUUAAUGGCACAUCAUUCCACUGGUUUACUCGGAACAUGGAAGAUAGAGUAGCAAGAGCAUCAGCCAUUUGGUUCUCAUCACGAGGAAUAUGAUGCAGCUCAACCUUUGUAAAAUAUGUCAGAAGACGUCUCGCAUAAUCACGAUAAGGAAUCAACUUAGCAUGGUGGGUCUCCCAUUCCCCCUUUAUCUGAUUGAUGACGAGCGCAGAAUCUCCAUAGAUGUCGAGGUGUUUGAUUCUCAUGUCAAUUGCUUCCUCGAUCCCGAAGAUACAUGCUUCAUACUCAGCCAUGUUGUUGGUACAUUCGAACAGAAUUCGAGCGGUAAAGGGAAUGUGAUGCCCUUGCGGGGAUACAAUGACUGCCCCAAUUCCUUUACCAUAAGCAUUAACAGCACCAUCAAAGACUAAACCCCACUUGCUAUUGGGAUCUGGACCUUCAUUAAUCAACGGUUCGUCGCAGUCUUUGGAUUUCAAAUACAUGAUCUCUUCAUCAGGGAAAUCAAAUUCAAUUGGUUGGUAAUCAUCAAGAGGUUGAUAAGCAAGGUGAUCGGCAAGAAUGCUGCCUUUGAUUGCCUUUUGAGUUUUGAACACAAUAUCAUAUUCAGACAAAAGCAUCUGCCAGCGUGCGAUCUUCCCAGUAACGGCCGCUUUCUCAAAGAUAUACUUUAUCGGAUCCAUUCUGGAUAUCAACCAAGUUGUAUGAUUCACCAAAUAAUGGCGCAGGCGUUUGGCAGCCCAAGCUAGAGCACAACAAGUCUUUUCAAGCAUUGUAUAUCGAGUUUCACAAUCGGUGAACUUCUUGCUUAGAUAGUAGAUAGCAUGCUCUUUCUUUCCGGUUUCAUCUUGUUGACCAAGUACACAUCCCAUGGAUUCAUCAAAUACUGCCAAAUACAUAAUCAAAGGCCUUCCUUCCACGGGUGGGACAAGGAUAGGUGGUUCCAGCAGGUAAUUCUUGAUGCUAUCAAAAGCUUCUUGGCAUUCAUCAUUCCAUACAACAGGCUGGUUCUUUCUAAGUAGCUUGAAGAUCGGCCCGCAGGUUGCAGUCAUGUGAGAUAUGAAUCGGGAGAUGUAAUUCAAACGUCCCAAGAAACCUCUGACUUGCUUCUCUGUCUGUGGAGCUGGCAUUUCUCGGAUGGCCCGGACUUUAUCAGGAUCGACUUCAAUGCCCUUUUGGCUGACAAUGAAGCCUAAUAACUUUCCGGACCUGACACCGAAUGUACAUUUGUUGGGAUUCAAUCGCAGCUUGUAUUUUCUCAACCUUUCAAACAUCUUUGUUAAAUAUUCAACAUGCUGCUCCUCAUCUGCUGACUUCACAAUCAUGUCAUCCACAUAUACCUCAACUUCUUUGUGAAUCAUGUCAUGAAACAGAGUGGUCAUUCCCCUUUGGUAGGUAGCACCGGCAUUGAUUAGGCCGAACGGCAUCACUUUGUAACAGAAAGUACCCCAUGGAGUGAUAAAAGAUGUCUUUUCUCUAUCUUCAGGAGACAUUUUGAUCUGAUUAUAACCGGAAAAACCGUCCAUGAAGGAGAACACCUUAGAUUGAGCAGUAUUAUCAACAAGCGCGUCAAUAUGGGGUAACGGAAAGUUGUCUUUUGGACUGGCUUUGUUCAAGUCCCUGAAAUCAACACACAUCCGAACUUUACCAUCCUUCUUCGGCACAGGCACAAUAUUGGCAACCCAUUCGGGAUACUCAACUGUCAUGAGGAAACCCGCAUCGAUCUGCUUUUGAACUUCAUUCUUGAUCUUGAGGGCCAUGUCAGGAUGAGUCCUCCUCAAUUUCUGCCUGACGGGAGGACAUUCAGGCUUGGUAGGGAUCCGAUGCUCCACGAUCAUAGGGUCUAGACCUGGCAUAUCUUCAUAGGACCAUGCAAAAAUAUCCGGAUAUUCCCGGAGGAGUUGGAUGAUCUUCUGUUUAACCCCUUCCUCUAGAGUAGCACCAAUCUUGAUUUCUCGCUUGUUUUCCUCGGUACCUAUGUUGAUAAGCUCAAUCUCUUCUUGGUGAGGCUGAAUGGCUUUCUUUUCUUGCUCAAGUAACCGAGUGAUCUCAUACGGUAUGUCAUCACCUUCCUCAUCUUCGGCUUCAUAUACAGGGAAAUCAAAACUUGGAGGAACCGUAGGAUUACUGUGUUCAACGGGUUUAUUAUGGUUCAACCUGCAUAUAAUGAUUGGAUGAUUUUUAGAAAGAGUUUUUUUUUCAUGCAGAUUUUUGAAAUUAAUAAGAAAAUACAGACGUUUUGGUUUUUUCUGGCAUUACCAUUGUUUCCAAGGGAAAAAGCACUAAAAAAAGUAGUCGUGGAAGAAACGACAAAAUUUUAUUAAUCAACGGCAAUGCCGAAACAAACAUGCCCUUACAGAAAAUAUCACUCUCGCUUUGGGCAGAGCGAGAGGAUUGUUAUUUUUGAAAACAAAGCACUAAAGCAACAAGACACAUUACUCAGAAACAUGCAUGAUUGAAGGAAUGUCAAUGGCAUCCCAAUUUGUCGCCAUGCCUCCUGGUGUAACAAAUACAGGCCUGAGACCAGAUCCAGUGGCUUCUUCAGAGAUAGCAUUAACAAACCCUGCACUGUGGAAGACUCCCGAGGAAACCCUUGAUGACGGGGAGAACCCGAGACCUUCCUUUCGCUUGUUCUCACAGAGCUGUAUCAUCUUGCCCCAGCCGGUAGUCUGACCUUCUUGGAUGGCUCUCUGAGCAUCUUUCAAUGAAGCCAUAGCAGCCCCAGCUUCCUUAGGCUCUGCACCUUCAAUGGUCAACCCUUGGAAAGCAGUCCCUUCAGCAGACCCUGCUUCAACACAAGAAAAAGAAGACAACUGGCUGACUAAGUAUGCUUCUUCACCAUGGAUUGUAACGAGUUUUCCAUUCUUCACAAAUUUCAACUUCUGAUGUAAGGUGGAAGUAACCGCACCUGCAUCGUGUAUCCACGGUCUUCCCAGCAGGCAACUGUAGGAUGCAUUAAUGUCCAUCACUUGGAAAGUAACCAAGAAAUUCUCAGGGCCAAUGGUUAUCGGCAAGUCUAUCUCUCCCAGCACAUUCUUUCGAGAUCCAUCAAAAGCUUUGACCAAGAAAGUACUUCUCCUCAACGGGGUCCCGCGGUAGCUCAACUGAUCUAGAGUUGUCUUGGGCAUUACAUUGAGAGAGGAACCGGUAUCCACCAACACAUUUGAUAUCAUGUCUGAUUUACAGUUCACCGAGAUAUGCAAAGCCAGAUUGUGACUCCUUCCCACUUCCGGCAACUCUUCUUCACUAAACCAGAGGUUGUUACAAGCAGUAAUAUUUCCCACUAUGCCACCGAAACGAUCUACCGAGACUUCGUGGUCAACAUAUGCCUGCUCCAGCACUUUCAACAAGGUGUUCCUGUGAGCCUCAGAGCUCAAGAGUAAUGACAAUACAGAUAUCUUGGAAGGGGUUUGCAGCAAUUGAUCAACGAUCUUGUAGUCGCUCCUCUUUAUUAUCCUCAGAAUCUCAUCUAAAUUUGAAUCCUCUAUAGAUUUGCCUGGCUGAUUCACAUCUGUAGCAAUGGGUGAAACAACGGUUGGAGUUGCUUCUUCAACUGGUGGAGUGAUUGGCGUAGCUACCUUCUUCUGAAAUAAAGGCGGACGAACCUUCCCGCUUCUUAGCGCUGCAGAAGUCCCUUCGGCAAUAUUGCUUACCGUGGCAAAGGAGGCUAGAGGCACCUCUACUCCAUUUUCUAUCAUAGUAGCAUUGUACUUGUAUGGCACUGCCUUGUCCGAAACAUAAGGAAUUGGUCCUGGCAACCUUAUCACCAAAGGCUCAGCAUUCUUCUUCAAAGGUACGCUCUUGACAGGCGGAUCGUGAAAAACUGGCACGACCACGCAAACAUCACUGACGGUCAGAAAAUUAUCAUUCAUCAAGCUUUGGAUGUCGUCUUGAACAGCAUGGCAACCCAAAGAAUCACGGAGGCAUCCUAGACACUUGUCAUGAUCAUGGCUGAACAGAGAAGCUUUGCAUAGCUUGAUAUGCAGAGGCACCAGAGGAGUGACAAUAUUGCGGACAUCAAGUCUAGGAGCUUCCUCACACACUUCGAUCAUAUUCACAGCGGCAUGAUUUGGAAGAGGAUUGUCAAGGACAUGUGGAACAUUAUUCUCAAAAGUCAGCUUUCCCUGAUCAAUGAGCUUCUUCACGAUAUACUUCAAAGCAUAACACCCCUCGACAUCAUGACCUAAAGCACCUUGAUGAAAGUCACAUUUGAGAUCAGACCUGAACCUUGGAGGCAACGGAUCAGGUGGGGGCUUACCCUGUCUAGUUGUACAAUGUCCUCUCUGGAGUAGAGUUGGAAGAAGUUCCGCAUACAACAUUGGUAUAGGAGGAAAAGUUGGUCUAGUAUACUGCUGUUGCUGUUGUUGUUGUUGUUGUUGAACCGGCAACUGUUGUUUCAUCUGUUGGGCAAUUGCAUUGACGGGCACUUGAGGCUGGCCCUGUGGCAAAGGGUACUGAUGAUAAAACGGUGGGAAGAACGGAUGCUGAGAAUACGGCAUAUAUGGGUAUGACGGAGGCACUUGAGCUGCAUUGAUAGGAGCAAUAGUAGCCAUAGAUUGGCCGGCUGCAGCUGACACCAUUCCCACUUCCGUUUCUUUCUUCUUGUGGUGUCCAUUACCAUAUCUCUUCGAUGCACUCGUAGAAGAUUCAGCUUUCUCAAACACAAUGAUCCCAUCUCUGACUGCUUCCUCAAGACGGGUUCCCAUGGUGACCAUCUCCGAAAAGUUGUUCGGGGCAGCAAUGAUCAUUCUCUCAACAUAAUCUUUCUUCAAGGUCUUUAAGAACGUCUGGGUCAUUUCUUCUUCAUCUAAAGCAGGAGUGAUACGGGCAGCUGCCCCUCUCCACCUUUGCGCAUAUUCACGGAAACUCUCCUCCUUUUUCUGAGAUAGGGACCUGAGAAACUCCCUAUUCGGCUUCAAACGAGUGUUAAACCCGUAGUGGCUCCUGAAAGCGGUGGCCAGCUCAUCAAAAGUAUGGACAUCAUCUUUGCUCAGACUAGUAUACCACUCCGCAGCAUCUUCCAUCAGACUGUCUUGGAAGUAAUGGAUCAUAAGGGAAUCAUUGUCCUUGUAGUUGCCCAUUUUCCGGACGUAUUUGACAAUAUGAUUUUGAGGACAAGUCAGCCCGUUAUACUUGUCGAACUCCGGGACUUUGAACUUUUUUGGAACAUCCACCUUCGAUACCAAGCAGAGGUCCUGGGUUUUGAUGGAGUCUCCAUUUCCCCUGUUGGCCUUAAUUUCCCGUCGGAGCUCUUUGGCAAGUUCUUCCAUUCUCUCUUCCAUAGUUCCGGUUGUGGUAAUACUCCCGUGGUGUGCAUUAGCAUGGACAAAUAGAGGCACCGCAUUCACAAUGGGCUCGGUAACAGUCGUUGCAGCUUGAGUCAAGGCAGUACUGACAGGAGUUAAGUUUGCCCCUGGGAUUGGGCCAUUGUUGGUAGUACCAGAGGUCCCUGCCCCUGUAUUAGCAGUAUAGUACAGCGGAAGUCCGUAAGGAUACCCGGAUGGCAUGAUAGAGCGGGGAUCAGUUGUUACGGUAGGAGUCACAUUUGCAGCUGUAGAAACUACAGGAACUGGUUGUUCCUGAGCAGCCAACAGAGCAGUCAUAGCAUCAUGAGCUUUGGCCAAUUCCUCCCUUAGAGAUGCCAAUUCGGUACGAAGCUGUGUGUUCUCUUCUUCCAUAGCCCUUUUCUUUCUUCUGUAUUCUCUGGUUCGGUCAAUUCUAUCAGGUUCGUAAACUCUCUGAGCACGAGCCACUUUUCACACUGCGGCAGAGAAACCAGGAGGUGGUAAGCACUUGGAAGCCUUUGUGACCGAUGCAUGAUGCAUAUGAUGCAUGAUAUGCAAAUGCAAAUGCGAAAGACUUAUUUUUUUCAUCGAAGGAUUUUUAAACAAAUUAGAAAUUUUGCAAAUAAUCAAAACUACAUAGCAUUUUCAAAAGGAAGACUUUGAAAUUUCAACAAGAUAAACAAAUGAAGCCCUCAAGCAUAAGAAGUAGUCGGAAGAUCAUCGGACUCGGAAUCUGAAUCACAGUAUCUAUCAAAGAAGUCUCGUCGUCCUCGAGCUCUCUUGGAGUCCCUCAUAAGCAGCUCGUCUUUCUCUUCCAAUUCCCUCCGGACCUUAGCUAGUUCCUUCUUCAACAUCAGGUUCUCAUGAGUCUUCUGCUCAUCUCUACCAUCCAAAGUCAUGAUUAGAUUCUCGGCUUGAUUAUACCGAACUUUCCACACUUGCUUCUCACGACUCUCCAUAGCUAGAUGCUCCUGAUACAUAUCCUGAGUCGCGGGGAGUAGAGGUAGAGGCAUAGAUGGAGUAGACGAAGACACGUAUCUCAUAGCUGGAUAAGGCAUACCAAUCUCCUCAGCUCGAUCUAUCACCCACUGAGUAUAGGCCUCAUGAGCAACACUGGAUCUCACACCUAGAUGCUUCACACUCUUCCUUCGAACCUUGGACCAAGCAUCCAUGAAAGCUUUCCUUUGUCCGGUAGGAGCAUUCGCAUAGAAGAAGAACUCUGGAGAUGUAGCAAGAUUGAUGGGCUUCGACUUCAUAGGGAAACCAAACUGUCUCAUAGCAAGCUCGGGAUUGUAGUUGAUUCCUCCACGAGUACCAAGAAGAGGUACAUUGAGAAAGUCUCCACAACCCAUGAUAAUUUCCUUGGCUUGAGCGGCGGGAGUGAUCCAGACCACCUCAUUAGGAGUGAGAGCCAUAAUCCGCUGAGAGUAGGACCAAUUUUCCGAGUUAUCAUGGAAGGAACUCGGAAGGUGCGAAAUAAACCACCUAUACAAAAGAGAUAUGCAGCAAAGAAUAUACCCACGGCCCUUGAGAGUCCUGUCAUGAAUGGCGUGGUAGGUAUCCGCUAGCAAAGUAGGAGCCGGGUUCUUGGAAUGGAAGAUCUCGAUAGCAUUCAUGUCCACGAAGUUGUCGAGGUUCGGAAAGAGAAUGAGCCCGUAGAUAAGCAAAGCAAGAAUAGCCUCGAGCGUAUCCUGACAAGUAGUACUGAGAUUAGCUUGAUCAAGAAGAUACUUUGAAGUGAACCCCCGGAUGUGAGACUUGGUAAUAAGAUGGUUGGAGACGUCGGAAGUCUUGAGGUAGAGAUCCUUAGCAAUAACCAGAGGAGUAAGAGAAGUCCCGGGACCGGUGAAAGGCGUCUUCUCGGCUAUAGGUAAACCCACUAGAUUGGAGUAAGCCUCGAGAGUAGGAACCAACUGGAAGUCCGGGAAGGUGAAGCAACGGAAGCUUGGAUCAUAAAAUUGCACUAGAGUGUGCACUAGCUUCUCGUCCACAUCGGUUCGGAGCAAAGUAAGCAAUCCCCCAUACCGGAGUCGGAACCCUGUUUGACUCUUGACCUUGAGCGCCAACUCUCUUAAACUAACCAAAUCCACUUCCUUGAACUUGUAGCACUUAGUCUUCUUCAUACCUGUGAUUAUUUACAAAAAUUUCCAUUUGUUUAAACCCUUCGAUGAAUGCAUGAAAAAUGUUUAUGCAUGAAUGCAUGUAUGCAUGAUUGUGUUGUUUAGUUACAAUGUGGGUUGAGAUUCAAAGUAACAAGGCCAUGGAUGGACACGGCGUCUGGUGAACUAAGGCUUUGGAUAAUAGUAACCAAGGUUCUAAUCAAGUUCCCAAACUGCAACCUCUCUCACAUAUAUCAUGGUAGUACAGGACGACACCCGUUCCAUGUUUAUUUGUGAGAAGGUCUAGCUUGAGUGUAGUAUCGCGUGACGACUAAAGUUUGAGACAACACUCAAUUUAGCCACCGCACUACGUCCUAAAAAGGCUAGGAUGGGUUUGGUAACUACGGUUCAUAGCUUCGUCGAACAAUUGAAAGUGAAGUGCCUAAGCAUGACAACACACGCCGACAAUAUCACCUUCAAAAUGCCUCAGCUAUGUGAGAUUGAUCGCAUAAUCCAAUACACGAGGCAACCCCCGGAUCGAAUUGUCGAUUAUAUCUCUACCUAAUCAUAAGUUCACUCAGCCCGGGUUAGGACUUUUGAUAUUCUCACCCCACACGUCAAAUGAAGGUAAACAAGUAUUCACAUGUGUAAGCAAUAAAAUAAAGCAUAAAUAUAAACUAAGGAAAACUAGGCGCGACCCGCUAAAAAAGUUUCCCCAGUGAAGUCGCCAUUUCUGUUAUCAUGGUUUUUGGGUGCCAAGCCAUUAAUUGGACUUGUACCUUUCGACCGUUGAUAUCUCUAUUUUUUCUUGGGAAGGGCAAAAUUGAGAAAAACCCUUAGAUUCUAAGUUCGGGGGUCGGUUUUACUACGGGAAGGUGUUAGGCACCCGGAGUAACUAUAGUCCUCUAUAGGAGCCGUUUUCCUAAGUCUAUAUUCGCGCUUAUUUUUGCUUACUUUUGAAAAUGGGAGGUUUAUUUAGUUAAGAAUGGGGGGAGAGAUUGUAAGACUUUGAUUUUAUUUCGGCUUGGAUGAGUUUUGACUCAUUGCCUACGUACCGUUUUACGGGAUCAAAACCGGCGUAGUUCUUGCUAAAAAGACUUGUUUUUCUUUUGUUUUAAUUGUUUGAUUUCAAGUUUUGAAAAAAAGGUUUUGAAGAAGGAGAUUGGGAGGCUUCAUGAGCAUUAGAUUUUAGCAAAAGGUAAGGUUUGAUUAGUGAUUUCGAAAGAAAGUCUAAAUGAUUAAGAUGAAUUGAAUUUUUCUUAAGAAAAAAGAAAGGAAAAAAUGAAGUGUUGACUUCAUACAUAUUAUGAAAAUUUUUGAAGUGAAGUUCAAUUGUUUUUUUUUUUGAAAAAAGAUGGAUUUUCUCUAAGCGUUUAAACCUAAGCGCUCAUCUAACCAUACAAUCCUAUGCAUACAUCUAAGGUGAGUGUGUGCGUGUCGGUGCGUCAUAGUGUCCAUAGUCCAUAUUACAAAAAUUGCCUAAAUACAUUCUAUGGCCCCUUUGCCAAGCUACAAACCAAUGAUAACAAAUUACAUUACCAAAUGAAUUAAAACUUGCAAAAAAAACAAAUGCUAGGCUAAAAAGUGGAGGGAAUGCUAAAUGAGAUGCAUGAAACAUGAGAUGAAAUGGUUAGUAACCAUAAAGCACAAAAUAAUAGGAAAUAUUCAAAAGGAAAUGCAUAAAAAUGGCAAAGAAAAGGUAAUAAAGUGGCAAUAAACCUAAAAACUUUGAUGUGAUACCUAAAGGUGCUUGUAACCCAUAAUCAUCACAUCAUGGCAAUUUUGAAAGAAAUUUUGUUUCAAGCCAUGACAUGAAAUUAAUGGAAACAUAUGCAAGCAAGGUAUCACACCAAAUUCAUAGAGAAAUUUGACACUUUAUUCCCUAAAACAAACACUUGUUGCUUGUAAAACAAGAAAUCCAUAAAAUCAUAUUCAAAACAGCAAAAGAAACACAUGUUCAGAGGCAUAUUCAUCAUAAGAUAUGGCAUCAUUUAUUCAUAACACAUAUCAAAGUAUCAAGAACAAAAACAUAGCAAAAAGUACAUCAAAAGUGUAAAAACACAUGGAAAUUAGUUCAUGCCAUUUUAACAUUUUUUACAUGCAAGAAAACACCAUAAAAAUGCCAAAAAUAUACCAAGAAAAGAAACAACUAGGAUUUUUCAGGAAUUUUUAUAAAAAAAAAGGUAAGCAAGUAGCAGGUUCAGAUAGCAAGAAAGGCGGUGCAAAUAGCAAGAAAUUAACAAAAAAACGUAAAAAGAAACAAGCCCAAACCAAAGCCCAAUCCUACAAGGUCCGGAAGCAUGGGAUCCACACGAUUGAUCCAGGAUUCAAAAACCCUAGAUCAAACGGCCAGGAAUCAAAGGGGAAUGGACCGGAUUGAACCGGUCCGGUUCGCUGGCCUAUAAAAAUGGAAGGACACCGGUUUUUUCAUUUCUCUACUUCCCUUUCUCUCUCUAAGUUCUUCCCUCUUCUCUCAUCUCUCAUCUCUCUCUAAACCCUCACCGGAUUCUGGAAAAACACGGAAGAUCUUCAUCUUCCCCGGUGAGUUUUGCUCCUCCGGCGUGGUGGCCGGCCGCCCAAGGGUGGUGGCGCCGCCGCCGGAGUUGAACAAACUUCACCGUUUUCAAAAAAAACUUACAUUUUCAGAUAUCCUUUUCCAUCCUAAACACGAAUAUGACACUGGAUUCUUCAUGCAAGGCGUGAAUCAACGUAGAUCUACGUUUUUGUGUCACGAUUUUGAGAAAAAAAAAAAAUUUAGGUUUUCAAAGAAUUUUUAAAAGAAGCUUGUAACACCUCAAGAUCUACAUUGAUUCCGUGUUGGCUAUCUCUCUGGCACUCGUCCUUGCUUACAACUUCUGGAUUUCUAUGGAUCUAUGUUUUUGCUUACGGUUAUGAUUUUUUUUAUGAUUCUGGAAAUUUUUUUGGAUCUUGUUUGCAGGUUUAACAGUGAUUAUGCUUUUUAAAGAGAGAAAACUGAGUUUUACCUGAAUUUUGGUUGAGAUUCUUGAAGGAGAAAAUCUUCGGAAAACUUGAACGUUCUUUGAUUUUCUCUGAACCGAAAAUAAAUCGGUUUACUGGCUUGGUUUCUUCAUCUUCUCCGGUUCUUUCUCUGAUUAUACGUUUGAACUUGCUUCUUUGAUUUCUUUGCGAGAGGCUCCCCGUGAUCAACGCUUGAGCUUGCUUUGAUGCGAGCUCGCGUUUGGAAUUGCAGGGAAUCAAUCAAUUCAGUGAUGAAGAUUCAUACGAAUCUCUGAGAAUUGAUGCGAAAAACACUGAAACUUGAUGAAUUUGUGACUUUCUGGAAACGGUUAGGGUUUUGUGUUCUUCGUGUUCUUGAUGAAUCUGAGAAAUUUUCUGUUUUGAUCUAACUGAUUGGAGAGAGAAUCUGAAAAUGUGUUUGUUGAGUUGGCGUCUAGUUAAUGGCAUUGAAUCUUACACUUGGCUCUAUUUAUAGCUGACAUGUGUUGCCUUUGAACAAAUGAGAAAGUGACACCUGGAUUUGGAGAAGAAAAUGGCACGGCUUGGACUAAAAAUGAAAUUGGACCUUUCUGCAAAAUUGAAAAAUUAAGGGACUAAACUGCAAUUGACAAAAAGGACUGAAAUGUAAAAAAGAAAAUUCUGGACUGAAAUGCAAUUUUGGGACCUCACUUGAGGGACCAAAAUGCAAUUAAAAAAAUAAAAUUGAAUAAAAAACGUAAUUUGACCAAACGUAAAGCGAAACAAAACAAAAAAUAAAAUUGACAAAACGGACUAAAACGAACCAAUGGCCUAAAUGAGGUACUUCAAAGUAACCUCCCCAUGCCAAAAUUUCAUGUGAAAUGACCAAAAUGCCCCUAGGAUUAAAAAUGACCUAAAUAGAGCCAAAAUGACUCGACACUGACUCAGAUGCAAGUUUGAAAUGAAUUUAACAAGAUUUACUGAUGAAAUGUUAAAAAUCAAUCUGAAAAGACUCAGAGACAGUCGCAAGGAUGAAAAUGGGUCCCACUGUAGGAAAUGACCAAAAUACCCUUCUGUACGACUUUUUGCAAAUUUUGAAAUAAACUGUAGAAAAAGCAAUGUAAUGAUUCAGAGACACUUUUGAAUGACUUACAAGACAAGUAAAGACAUUUCGAAAGGUUUUAUGCAAGAAAAACAUAGGUAAAAUUGUGAUUGAAAAAACUGCGAGGCAGAGACAAUUUGAACUGUGCAGUUGAAAUUUGAUAAUUGACAAAGUUUGAAAUGAAAUUGGGCCCAGUAUUUUUAGGUCCAAAAACAGGGUAUAACAAUUAAUUCUCUAAUUCAACUACCUAACCAAGACGAGGCUUUGAGAACCAUUUUCUCCUCUUUUGAAAAUUAAAACCCAAGAAUAUUCUCCCCCUAACCACAAAUUCACAGAAGAUUGCAACUUUAUGCUUGAUUUCUUAGAUAGUGCCCUUCCUUCUUCGUCUCCUCUGUCUCCUAGGUUUCAUGUACUCUCUAUGCUUCCUUAACCCAUGUUCUUCCUUUGCUCCUCUCAUUUUUUUCUCUUUCUAUGUAACCCUAAUUCUCUAAUACUCUUUUCUAUUUAGAGCCACUAUUUCAGCUUAGUUUUCUCACAUAGUUCUUAGACAUACUUGUUAUCUGCACCCCUAGUCUAGUUACUGUUUUUUCUGUAACGCCUCCGCUCGGUGUGCAUGUAACACCCGAGGCUGAUGAGGGCGGGGAGUGGUCCGACUCCUGGCAUGCUUCUAGGAAAAACUGAAUCACAUCGAAAUGAGAAGAUCCUGAGGCCGUACAGGUAUGAGACUGCAUGGUUGAAGGCAAGCUUAUAAGAUUUGUUUGGUACUACCUAUAUCAAUAAGAUGCAUCUUCUUUUCGGUAGCUCAUUUCAUAAGAACUUCACAGUUAAGCGUGCUUGACUUGGAGCAAUUUUGGAUGGGUGACCUACCGGGAAGUUUCCUCGUAAGCGUGCGAGUGAGGACAAAACACGCUGAAAAGACUCGUGUUGGUUUGUGGGGUCAGUCGACAAUGCUGAAAGUCGUAUGGGAUGUUGCGUUUUCUGUAACUACACAGCCAUGCUGUUUACACCUCCCUCUGUCUAAACUAAUAAAAUGCUACAUAGUUUUACCAAUACACUAUACAUAUAAUCAAUAAUAAAAGAAAAAUUAUCAUCAAUACACUGAGAUAAAAUAUUUUCAAAGUAGCAAUUAAAGAGUAAGAUAGCGACUCUUAUCAUAUCCAUCAUCUGAAAGGUAAGUCGAUGUGUGAGAUAAAAUAUUUAUUCUUAGAACAUUUAUUAUGGAAUCAAGUUGUCAAAACAAAUUUUUGUUUGUCUUUUCACUAAGUCAUGUUCUCUCGAUCACUGUCAUCAUAAAAUCUCAAAAAACAAAAAAUUAUUUUAUUUUGAAAUUAUUAUGGAAUCACUAAUAUUUUUUUUAAUUUAGUUUAUUUACCAAAAUAAAAAAUAAAAAAUGUUUGUCUAUACUAUUUGGGUCAUUGAGAUUUUUUGAAAGUUUGAUGAUUUCAAUUUCAUAUAUGGAUCGUUUUCAAGAUUUUUAUUUUCUUCAUAUAUUUGACUUUCGCAUAAAAAAAAAUCUCACAUUCAUGCAUUAAUAAGAAAAUUAAAAUUCAUGCAUUCUUCGGUUAAAAAAGUAAAGGUAAAAAAAUAAAAAAAAUAUUCUUUAUAUCACAUAUAUGUAGUUUUUAAAAAUACUCUUUUAUCCCAAUCAUAGGAUUUUUACUUUACAUAAGUCAUUUAUACAUUUAUGUCAUUUUACUGAUUAUUAAUAGAAUAAACAAUAAAUGAUUGUUAUUUUAUUUUAAUUUUAUAUACAAACAAACCAAAAAAAGUUGAGUUGAUAAUAUUUUGUUAUAUGUUUUGACAAGUAGAUAAAUCGAUGUACGAAUAAUUUUCAUUAAUAUUUAAAAAUUGUAAUCAAAAUUAUACAAACAAACAUAAUAAAAUACACACACGUUAACACAAUAAAAAGAGCGGGCACACAUGCACGGUAGAGCCCAUCUUACUGCAAGUGGAAAUAUGAGAAAUGCUAUUUUAUACGAAAAUUUCACAACGGAAUUUCACGGACGCGUGAAUACGUCCAUUUUCCACGCGCUGCACUUCUGUUUAUUUUUUUAAUCAAAAAAAGAAAAUUAGCUGGCUUUCGUUCUCCCCCAAACAAAACAAACAUGUUCCUUCUCCCAGAAUCCCAAAACUUCUUCCUUAACAAAUUUGUGUAGAGGAACAACAAAUGCCACAAACACGUCAGUAACAAAUCUCCCAACCUUAUUUUCAUAUUUAUUUUCAUGCAUCUCUUUCUUUCUUUGUUAUUUAAUUUUCAUGCGGGUACUUUUUCCUGUUAAAUUGUGGUGGUAGUUUGGUUGUUGCUUAUUUACUGUGGUUGUUUGCUUAUUGGAGCACUACACAACUCUUUUUUUUUUUUUUUUUUUUAGUUUUGGGGUGGUUUGUUAAUAAUUAGUUAUGAAUCAAUGGAAGCUGUGAUGAUAGGAAGAAACAGAGUUAUGUGAGGAUGAAUCAGAGACCUGAUUUACAAAGACACUACGAAGUGUAUCAAGAUGUAAAUUAAUUCUUGCUCUUCUCCUCUCUGCUUCACUAUGAUUCUUCAAAGCUUCGAUACUUCUCCCAGGUGACACACCCUUUCUUUCUAAUUUCACAGCUGCCUCCACAAGCUCUCCUUUUUCUCUAUCCAAAACCAGUGAAGAAGAUGAACCAUAUCCACUUCCAUUUACACCUUGAAAACAACCAUCAUUAAUUCUACUUGGGUUAUUUCACACAAAUGAGAAUGAAUUCCAAUCAAAGGUUUGAAUCGCGGUAAGGAAAAACAAUUGGGGCAAGAGUGGUGAAAGUGGGUUUUAUUUCUAUUAUUAAUGGCGAGUUAUCCAGAUCUCCACAAAUGCAAGCUACUUUUUUUUAAAAAUUAAAAAAAUCAGAGAGUGCAGCGCGUGCAAAAUUGGUGUAUUCACGCGUCUGUGAAUUUUCGUUGUGAAGUUCCCGUACCAAAUAGCACUCCUGUGGCCCGUCAAUUUUUUUUUAAGGAAUAAAGUCCGUCAAAAUUAAAUCAUGAUACGGAUUUUUUGCAAAAUCAAUAGUGUAGUAUAAAAGAAAGCUUCUGUCCAAGAUGUGAUACUAAGCUGGAAACAAUAAACCAUGCAUUUAUGAAUUGCCCUUUUUCGAGAAAGGUUUGGUUUGGUUCCAACAUCAACAUAAAAUUUCCAGAAAGUCCAGAAUUUGAAUUUCAAGACUGGCUUAGACAAUUCAUACAGACAACAGAUGCAGCAACUAUCAUCUAUGCCGCUUCAGUUAUCUAUAAUUUGUGGUAUGCUAGAAACAAGUUAAUUUUCGAAGAUUAUAAAACCAACAUAGAAGACAUUCUAAACUACAUCAACAAAACAAUUCACGAGUACCAAAUAUGCAAUAAAAUCAACAACAUACCCAACAUGAUGCAUAAAUUGACUUCUACGCACAAUCAGCAAACUCAGCAUACAGUUCCGACAAGAUGGAGGAAACCAUAAAAUAAUUUGUACAAAAUGAACACUGAUGCAAACCUGUCUGAAGCGAACUCCUGGGGAUUAAGCGCACUCUGUCGAGAUGGAGAUGGGGAAGUCAUUGCAGCGGCUACAUGGAAGAUGAAAGGACAUAGAAGCAUCGAAAGAACAUUAUUGAUGAAAACUUUUGUUAAGUGAUUUGAUCUCUUAUUAUUUCUGAAACUUAACAAAACUAUUUUUCUUAUCUCUAUGCGUGAUACUUUUAUUGCUUGGAUGCCAUAAACUGAUUUAUGAUUCGUAUUGUAUAAUGGAAGUUGAAUUCAUGAACUCUCUGAGAUAAACAAUUUUUGCCUCUGCAAUCUAGGAGGAUAUGAAAAACCUUGAAAUCAAUUGAGAACUCUUGUACUUUCAUGCGUAAUUUUAAUCUUCAAUUCAUUAUCGAAGCAUAGGUUAUUUUAGAAUUAACGACUCCGUCACAAAGGAAUUAGGGCCAUACUAUUUUAGGAAUUAAAGAGAUUUAAUAGUCAUAGUAAUUAGUUUGAUAACUUAAGAUAGUCAUCUAGUUAAACUCAUUUCCCCACAACUAGAUCAAAUCAAUCUUAUUUUGCUUAAUUUUCAUAAUUGCUAUCCAACAAAUCUACUAACUUUUUGUUUAGUUAUGUUAAAAAUAUUAUUCAAGAGUAUAACACGAUCCUCGAGUUUGAUACUCGGUCUUACCAUUUUAAUUUUACUAAUUGCACGAUUUCACACACUUAAAAAAUAACUAUUAAAAUGAGAAUUGAUACAAAUUUAGCAAGUGUGCUAAACUAUAUCGAAGUAAUAAAAUUUAUAAGAUUUGUAUCCAUAGGGACUGUUUCAACUUCUAUUCGGUAGUAACAUUAUUAUUAAGAAUGUUUGUAAAAUGGGGGGUACACCGAGGCAAUUGGUUUGGUUUGCAAGUCAAAAUAAAUAACAGAUUAAUUAUAAAAUUGGUAAUGAAUUUAUUGGAAAUAUGAUCAGGUCUUUCAAAUCAUUUGUUCAACACUAAUUGGUAAUCUAAACCUAAACUGUUUAAUUGCUCUUCUAGUUUUUUUUUUUUUUUUGACAAAUGCUCUUCUAGUUUAUGAUAAUUAACAAAAUAGCUCAGGACAAUCCCUUGACUAAGAGCCCUCUUUUCUAAUUAUAAUUUGCUAAUCCCUUACGUGAACCUAUAAUCAUCAAAGGUUUUAAAGUGCGUUAAUUCAGAAUCACAACCUAAUAACAACUUUUCAUCCCUAGAUUGUCCGUUAAGUUGCACAACAUAAAUAAGUCGGAGUUAUAAGCUGGUGUCAGCUGUCAUAUAAUCUCUUUCAAUUAUAUUGGGUCAGAAUUAUAAAAGGAUUACGCACAAUUUAUAUUGAAUAAACUAGAAUAACAAUCAUAAUAAUUCAGAGUUACAAAUUACAUGGCCAAAAAGCUAGAACAGAAUCAUCUCAGACCUAAUCAAUUGAAACUUAGCUACUCAUGACUAAUGCACAAAUAACUAGAUUAAAAGAAAACAACAUUACAUGAAUUUGGGACUGGCUAUGAGUUGGAUGGUAAGCCACCAUGAAAUUUGCAGUCCUUGAAUCCAAAUGUGUCUCCAAUCUCCCCAAAAAUCAGAACCCUUGCUUCAUAAACGUGUUUGGCUUUUAUAAACUAGGUCGAGACUCGAUUUCAUCAUUAAAUCCAAAUUAACUUCAGACGCUCCAUAAGUCGAGGCUCGAUUUGCAUAAAUCGUGGCUCGAUUUUUCCAGGAUCAAAAUGUCUUCAGAACAGCUCAAAAUUGAGGCUCGAUUUCAAUAAAUCAUGGCUCAAUUUUUCCUUAUCGCAACACUUAUUUUCUGUCCUUUUUUAGCCUCUGGCAUCUGUGAACUCAUCUGAACUCAAGUAAAAUGAAUAAAAAGACUACUAAAAAGAUGAUAUGACCUAGUGUCACCAAGAAUCUAAAUAUCUACCGUAUCAAGAAAUCUCAAAACCUUAUAAAUGUGUCUACAAAAGGGAAUUCGAAAGAAAAUCCCGUAUGAUGAGAGCUGCACAUUAUUUGAAAAGAGAUUGGAAGAAGAAAAAGUGUCGCAAAUGGUACGUUAUUAAAACACUUUUUGUAUCACCGGUAACAAGAAAAAAAUGUUACAUUCAUCAUUUUUUAGAAGUUGUAAAAAGUGUCGCAAAAUUGUCUAAACCAAAAAAUUGUGAAUCUACCAAAUUUGUUUUUGCUUAGAUUUCAUUCAUAUUUGAAUUAACCAAUAUGAGAAGAUCGAAAGUCAUUCAAAUUUACAACUUCAAAGCAUGUAAAGGUAAAAAGAAAAAUAGUAAUAAUAAGCCUCAAGCAUCAGCAAUAGCAUUAUCCUCAAGCAUGCCAUCGUUUAGCCUCAUAAAAAAAACUAAAGAAUUUAGCUCCAUGGAUAUAUCAUAUCGUGUGCUGAUAUUCUUUAAUUUCACCUCCAUGUUUAAACCAUGGAAUUCAGCUUUUUAAGCCAAGACCGAAUAAAACUAGUAAAGAGACAAGAUAAAAACCAGAAAUCCUCCUAAGAUGCCUAUAACCAGAAAAUGCCACUUCUAAUAUUAGCCCAAAUCUUAUUAAGUAGUCCCCAAAACUGCAUCAUUACCUUCCAAGUGCAGCAACACCACUGAAUAAAAUCAGCCCUGGACUAAUGUUCACAAGUGUUCCCUCCUCUCAGACAGCCACUUGCUGACUCCGGAUAAACACUAAAGAAACCAACAAACCGUUAGGUGAGGUCUAUAGGUAAUUAGAAAUUCAAAUUGAAACACGGAAUCGUUAAAUUAAAUCUUCGCCUAUAGGUAAUUAUCCAGAACAUAACAAAUUAAAAGAAUAUUUUCAGGAACAAAUUUCACAAUUCAUCAAUGAAACAAUCCAGACAUGAAACAAUAGAGACUGAAAUUAAUCAAAACAACUAACAAAAUCACGAAACCUUUAUAAAAUGUGCAUGCAUUCAAAGUAGCUAUUAAAAACAAAAGCAAAAAUGGACAAUACACCAUUUGUUGUCUCUGGCAACACUUUUUUAGGAGACAUGUUAAAAUUGUCCCCUAAAAGUCUCUAAGGCAUCGAUUUAUGAGUGUUGCCAAAAUUAUUUUCGCAACCACUGAAAAACAUCUCCUAAAAUAUUUUAGGGGACGAUUUUGGAGCGUUGCACUAUUAUUUCUUGGGUGACAACCAUUAAUCGUCCCCUUAGAUACUUUUGGGGACGAUUUUGGAGCGUUACACUAUUAUAUCUUUGGUGACAACCAUUAAUUGUCCCCUUAAAUACUUUUGGGGACAAUUUUAGAUUGUUGCAUAAAAAUUUCACCAACAUCAAAUUUUUUGGGGGAAUAUUCUCUCCAAGCUUGUUUACAAAAAAAAAAAUCUAAAAUUGGCUUAGCUAGGAGUUGAACAUGCAACCUCUUAUGGAGAGAAGACAUCCUUUUUAUUUGGGGAAUUAGUCACUUUAGUCCCUGAAUGGGAAAUGAGUAGUCACUUUAGUCCCUGAAUGCAGAGAAAUUGCAAAACAGUCCCUGGAUGUAGACUCUGUUGGUCAAUUUCAGGGACUAAAGUGACGAACGCAGUCUACAUUUAGGGACUAAUUUAAUUAACAGAGUCUACAUUCAGGGAUUAUUUUGCAAUUUAUCUGCAUUCAAGGACUAAAGUGACGACUUCUUUCCUAUUUAGAGACUAAAGUGACUAAUUCCCCAUUUUUAUUUUUAUUUGUUGUGAUUUAGUGAUCCAGAUUAAUGUAAUUCAACCUAGUUUAAUAAAAGUACACAUUUUUUAUAGAGACCGAGUUAUAAAUAUUAUUUAUCAAGUUUAAUCUAGUUCAAUCAUGUUGUUCAACCAAUGACCUAGUGGUUAAAUUAUUGACUCCGUGACGUAGUGACCUUACUGUGUCGACAACCGGUCCGAAUUUUAAAACCAUGUAUCUAACACAUAAUAAUAAUAAUAAUAAUAAUAAUAAUAAUAAUAUAAGAGUAUAUUUUACGGGUAGAAUUAAUAAAAUUUGGUAAUUUUUUUUUAAUAAAAGUCAGCCCAAAAAGUGCUGAAAUGAGUUAUUUUCUUUAGGGGAGUUCUACGGUACAUCUCAUAAAUUGAGGUGUACCGGUACUCCUACUUCAAAAAUUUAUAACUUAACGGUUAUUUUAUGAGAUAAAGAGUUAUUUAUCGAUAUUUAUAUUUUAGAAAUUAGAAUUUAUGGCUUUUUAUUAGUCUAUAUUAGUGCUUCGUAAAUUUGUUUGGGAACUGAAAAGUUUUUCGUUUGAUUUAUCUUCUCGGAAAGCCAAAUAUUAAUCGAGUAGAGAUGGAAUGGUGUUCCCUAUCAAAGGAAGCGCAUUCAUGUAUUAAUUUUCCUUAAUUAAUUAACGUAAUGGCAAGGAAUUUGAGGAGAGAGAAGCUUGAAGUUUCACCGGAGACUAUAGAGAAAACGGAAGUUAUAAUGAGAGAGAAUUGAGAUUACUAAUUUGAGGUUCUCACAAUCAGAGAUUUGAGGACUUGAAUCAAUUUGAGAUCGAUUGAAAAUUGUCGAUUAAUCAUCAAAUGUUGCUCCAAGUAUACAAUCAUCAAAUGCUUAACAUAGUAAAUCAAUUGUACAAUCACAUUCUAGUGCAUCUUUUGAGAAUUUUUGUCAUCUACUCCAUCCGUCUUAAAAUAUAUAAGCAAAAAAAUCUCAUAUUUUUUAUCUCAAAAUAUAAGCAAAAAAAAACCAACUUUUAUGCCAUUAUUAUAUUUUUUCAAACAAAUCAUUUUUUCAAUGUAAAAUUCAAUGCAAAUUGCAUUCAAUUUGUUUUCCUUUUUAUUUUCUCCAUAAUUUUUAACCAAUGAUCUUUUCAUGAAACUUAUUUCAAAGAUAACACAAAAAAUUAUACUUCAAAUUACUAAAUGUUAGUUUUCUUAAUAAGUGAGAAUUAAUAUUUUUUUUCUUAUAAAUUAGAACGGAGGGAGUAUGUCAUCGACAAAACAUAACAAAUAAACCAGAACACAAACUACCUCUCCAGAGGCAGAGGAACAGCAGCGGGGACGACCGCGACUAAUCCAAUCAGGCACCAUAAUCAGUCCAUACACUUUCUAGUGGUUAAUCAGUCCUAAUAUUAAGGUUAUUAUCAACAAGAUCAUGCAUCACCAUCGCAUGAAAUAGCCACAAGACUGAGAAAUCAAUAAUGAAAUAUCUAUCCAAUCAUACAUUAUAUUUUAGAAAUCACCAAUAACAAGCAACCAAAUCACACAAACUUUCUAUGAAAUUCAAAUUCAGCACAACAUAACCAAAAACCCUAUAUAUUACCUCCUCCAAUACCAUGUCAAUACACCAGAAGCAAAAUAUUGACACCAUUUCAAUACACCAAUAACAUAACCAAAACCUUGUAUAUUGCAGCUUCACUGGGGCGUGAUGGUUGAUGCUAUUCCUUGAUCAUGAUUUUAAUUUCUUGUUGUCCUUUACGAUGUCCUUUCUUUGAUGGUUUAUUGGUGACAUCAUCCUGUUGUUCUAUUUCAACAUCGAGUGUGAUUUCUUUGAUUAAAAAUGUUACAUAUUCUAAAUGGAUUAGAUUCAAGUCAGAAGUUCAAAAGGAUGACCCUAUACAAACGGUACUCAGCAAUCUACUUUAGAUUUUAUGUUUAUUAGUACC